This 74791-nucleotide long non-coding RNA is filed under the name Eucalyptus grandis. RNAcentral describes it as "long non-coding RNA (EGRA_LNC000962)". The record is from RNAcentral. Lineage: Eukaryota; Viridiplantae; Streptophyta; Magnoliopsida; Myrtales; Myrtaceae.
UGGAAGACUCGCGGUGGGGAGGUGAAAUGAUUGCAUAUGUUUUGUUGAUUGUUAUCUAUGUUUGUCUCUCUAGGUCUGAUGGUAAAUACUAAAUGAGUGGUGAUUUUGAUUUGGAACAAUGUAUUGCUUCACUCCAUUUCAAAUGCAUUUAUAGACCGCAUGUCUACUUGUUUAGUGAUGCGUCCUGACUUGCUUUAUAAUUUGCUUCUGGUUUCUGCUUGACAUUUUCAUGAUAUGCUAAGAAUUUGCCUCUGCUGGUUUGACUCUAACAGUACACCCAACAAAAACUUUAAGUAUUGGCUUUUCUUUUCUUCUUCUUUUUUGUUGGGGGGGGGGGGGGGGGGGGUGUUGGUGGGGGGGUGCGGCGGUUUAUAGGAGUAGAUUUGAAUUGUUGAAAUUCUGUGCUGACCAUUCAUGGGAAUUAAACAUGGUUAUCGCCUGCUUUCCAUAAAUAUUGAUGUUAAUGUUCUUCGACAGUGCCCAACAUUUUGGUUUUUGUAUAGAUCAUGUUUAUGUGAGAACUGAAUGAUGGCAUGGGAUCUGCAUUGCUUGAAAACUGCAAUGGUUGCCCACGCUACCUAUUUCUCUAAAAUUGUCUAGCUUUGGACAAAAACCGCUUCCUUACCUUCUUCCAUUUAGAUAUGAAGAUGACUGAAGCUUUGGAUUUCAGGGGUUGGAGAGUACAUCUGUAGGGGGAGCAUAGCACAUAAGCUGAAGCCACUUGCCAUAUGAUCAAUAUGUAGCUUCCCUUUGACCACGUGAUUUGAUCGUUACUUGCUUUAAGAUCUUGUUUCUUGGAACGUCAAUGUACUUUUCUAAAGAUGGUCAUGAGGAGCCUUCAUCUACGCCAUUAAAGGGCAAAGCUGGGAAGGCUUGAAAUUGAUAGAGUUACUGAACUGAGGAAUUAAUGCAGCGAGUGCAUGAAUUGCUUCAAUUCAAGCUUUAAUGAGUUACGAGGUUGUGAAAUAAUUUGUUGUUUUCAGGUAGAGAAGAGUCAUGUAGUGAGAAAAUCGAGUGAAAAAUUGAUUGCACAUCUCUCUCUUCAAUUCUGCUACUCUCUUAAUCCUUAUUUCCCCUUUCAUGUCCCUAAUUGGGGACUCUACAUUGCGGUAAGUUUGUCUUUAUGCCUUUAUACAUUCGAUGGGAAUGAUGUCACAUUUUUAAGUACUAAGAGUUAGUUCGCAAUAUGCUAUUCAUUUCUUGUAUGAGAGAUGGAUUCUUCAAGGUGUCUUUCAUUGCAAGGGGAAAACACAAUGCUUUUUGAGGCCCAACCCCAGACGAUGAUGGUCGUCUCAAAGGAACUGUGCAUGCAUACUUUGUGUUUAAAGCUCGAUCUUCCAAAAUUCUCAUUCAAGCAGAACUCGUGCUUGUGUGCGAAUUUGAAGCUCCACUUCAAAUUAGUCAGGAUUUGAGGAAUGGUCUUUUAUCGCAGUCGUCAUCAAUUUACAUUUCUGUGAAGUGGAUACUUAUACAUUGAUAUUCUUCUGAAUGAAUUGAAAGUAUCCGGCUGAAAGUUUCAUGAAUUUGACGGGCAAUAAGUAGGGGUGAGCGUGGUUCCGGGUAGAACCGGGAACCGGAACCGAACCGGAGGAGGGUCCAGUUCGGUUCCCGGUUCUGAGGAGGCCGGUUCCGGUUCCCGGUUCCUUUUUUUGGGAACCGGCGGUUCUCGGUUCCGGUACUGGGAACCGGAACCGGUCCGGUUAGGGCUAAAAGUAAAAACUAAAAAGCCCCAAAUAGUCGAAUUAGGUCUACAGAAAUCAGAAACCCUAAAAGUUGUUCUCUCUCUUCCACACGACACUUUCACUUCGUUUCACAGUUCACUCACAGACUCACAGUUCUCUCUCUUCGCUCGUCCGUUCUCCACCUCUGCUCGAGUCGACGCCACCGCCGGUCGCCCUCGACGCCACCGCCGUUGAUCUCUGCUUGAGGGUCGAGGCCACCUCCGCUCGCCCUCGACGGCAUCGCGGCUGACCCCUGGGCCCUGGCUCACCGUUUGCCCUCGACGCCACCGUUGCUCGCCCUCAACGCCACCGCUCGCUGACCCCUGCUCGAGGCCACCUCCUCUCGCCCUCGACGGCACCGGUCACCACCGCUGACCUUUGGCUCGCUGAUCGCCCUCGAUGCCACCGUCGCUCGCCCUCGACGCCACCGCGCUGACCUCUGGCUCGCUGAUCGCCCUCAACGCCACCGUCGCUCGCCGUCGACGCCAUCGUCACUCGUCCUUGACGCCACCGCUCUCUGACCACUACUCGAGGCCACCUCCUCUCGCCCUCGACGCCACCGCCGCUGACCUUUGGCUCACCGAUCGCCCUCGACGCCACCGUCGCUCGCCCUCGACGUCACUCGCCUUCCAUUCAUAUUUUCGAUUAACCUCUGCUUUUACUUUUCACUAUAUCCAGCUUUUUAACAUCACUCUUCUGCUAAGAGGGCUCUUGGGUAGGUUAACUGUUACUUAACAACAAGAAUAGUUUGAGUUGUACAAAAGAAAGUAAACUAGAGCAGCUCAUUGUCCUAUUUUUUUCUAUCAAUUAUCCUUUUCUUUUUUUUUAGGAAAAAAGUUAGCUUAAAUAUCAGUCAACCAACACUGUCUUGAUGAUAUAAUAGGGCCAUAAAUGUUUGAUGGAAUGACAAAAAAAAUGAGUAAAAUAUGAGAAAGCAAUGUGGUGAGCGAGGGUACGUGUAGGAUAACUGUAGCUGCUGGACAUUGCUGAGAAAUAAGAGAACAACAUGAUCAAACAUGGGGCAUAGACAUCAUUGUCUAAAGACGCAGCAAACUGAGAUUUGGAUGAUGUGUGUUCUUUAGGGGAUAUCUCCAGUUCUCAUUGUGACUUGCCGUAACUUUCUGGCAGUUAGGAAAUUGAAGCUUUUCGAUUAGAAUAAUCUACCACACAUGAUCCAAACGCAGAUUUUAUAAUAGCUUUUUGACGAAUGAUGCGCUCAUGGCAUGACGUGGUUUCGGAUUUCUUCUCCCUAACACAUGCGAGACUCACUGAUAAGGUUGUUGACUGAGUACUGCACGAAUCCAGUGAAUGCUUGCUAAAUCGUUUAUUCUCUUAUAGCGCUGUGUUCUCCUUUACUCUUAGUAGGACGGGAGGAAAUUUCCUCCAACCAAUCUUCUGAUUAGUGAGCUAUAAAUAUAGACGUGAUCUAUGUUUAUAUUUAGUUAAUUUUGCAUGUGAGUAAUAUUUUGUAACUUGUAACCCGCCAAAUUAGUAGGUCGAAUUUCUUGGGGCAAAAAAUAUUGGAAAAUUUAAGCCUCUUUGACAAUACGAUGUUACUGUUAUUGUAUCUGUAUUUAUCAUAGCGAAAAUGAAGAAAUAUCAAUUGGCUUUAGAAGUCAAAGCUAGUUUCUUAUUUUACAAGUUUGAUGUCUGCUUAUAAAUUUAUAAUACAGUUGGAUGAUUUUAAUUUGGCUGACGUCAUUGUGAUGGCGAAGUUAAAACUGUCAUGUUUUUUUCCUGAUGUCUUGAUGUUUGUGCUCUAGGUUCACAUAUUUGGCCUUAAAUUCUCUUCCCUGCUGUCCUAGAGCAACAGAGCUGUCAUUGACUCAGUCAGGGGCUUUCUCGACACUGUUGGACCAUCAAAUUUCAACAUCACUUGUAGAUUUUAGUGAGACAGCUUUGCAAUCUUUCUGGUUCAAAGGUAGGUGAUGAAAUAAAGACUGAAAUUGGUCUACUUUCCCAUGGUUCAUGCUGUAUUAUGUUUCUAUACACCAUUGAUAUGCUGUAUUUCAACAUAAUAGACUUAGUUUAUGUAUAAAACUGUUGUAUUAUGUUUCUAUACACCAUUGAUAUGCUGUAUUUCAACAUAAUAGACUUAGUUUAUGUAUAAAAGUGAUGUAUUAUGUUUCUAUACACCAUUGAUAUGCUGUAUUUCAACAUAAUAGACUUAGUUUAUGUAUAAAAGUGCUGUAUUAUGUUUCUAUACAUCAUUGAUAUGCUGUAUUUCAACAUAAUAGACUUAGUUUAUGCAUAAAAGUGCUGUAUUAUGUUUCUAUACACCAUUGAUAUGCUGUAUUUCAACAUAAUAGACUUAGUUUAUGUAUAAAAGUGCUGUAUUAUGUUUCUAUACACCAUUGGUAUGCUGUAUUAUGAUGUGUUAACAUUGUUAUCAACUAAAUUAAUUAUAUUCUGUUAUUGUUGUGUAGUGCAAAGUUAAUGAAUCGAGAUAACACAUCAAUGGAGGUGGAGGGACAUGAGGAGAUGAGUCCGAUCACGAAAUUGGAGUUUUCUGGCCAUGAAAAUGAAGAAGAGGCACCCCCUACCACGAGUGCCACAAGUAAGGCUGGUUGUCAUCUUCCUCUUAAUAGGAAAUAUACAUCGGAAUGCUAGAAUCAUUAUACUAGAAUUAAUGAUAAGGAUGGAAAACCAAAUCAAGUGAAAUGCAUUCAUUGUGGGACCAUGCUUAAGUAUAGUGUUGCUAACGGUACUUCUGCGAUGAGGAAGCACUUGACCACAUGCAGGAGGUUCCCCCGUAACGUAGAUAAGAGACAGAGGUUCUUUGCACCACGUAAUGUAGACGUGGCUGGCAAGUCAGGAGGAGAUUCUACUACCAGUAGUGUCUUAUCGACAUGGGCGUUUAAUCAAGAAUGUUGUAGGCGGAUGCUUGCUCGGUUCAUCAUCAUUGAUGAGCAACAUUUUCCUUGGUUGAGCGAGUUGGAUUUCGUGAAUUUGUCGGUGAGUUACAACAUCUCUUCAAACAUAUAUCACGUUUCACAAUGGCCAAAGAUUGCAUGAAGUUGUACUUAGAUGAAAAAACUUAUUUGAAGAAUUAUUUUCGACAGAUUAAUUCUAGGAUCGCACUCACAACCGACACAUGGAGUUCCAUUCAAAAUCUGAAUUAUUUGUGUCUCACUGCUCAUUUUAUUGAUGAAAAUUGGAAGUUGCAUAAAAGAAUCAUCAAUUUUGUGGUGAUGCAUAGUCAUAGGGGUAGGGAGAUUGGGAGAAUGGUGGAAAAAUGUAUUGAAGAGUGGGGAAUUGAAAAGAAGGUGUCCACAAUCACUGUGGAUAAUGCUAGCUCGAAUGAUGUUGCAAUUAACUAUUUGAGGGAUAAAUUUUCCAAAGAAAAGUCGUCGAUAUUGGAUAGUAGUUUUUUGCACAUGAGAUGCACAGCUCAUAUAUUGAAUUUAAUUGUGAGAGAUGGCUUGACUACGGUACGUGACUCUAUUGUACAUAUCCGGAAUGUGGUUAGAUAUGUAAAGAGUUCUCCCGCAAGAGCCAAUGCAUUUCAGACUUGCAUUAAGAGUGAAAAGAUCACUUAUAAGGUUCGGUAGUUCUUGAUGUUGCCACUAGAUGGAAUUCCACUUAUCUCAUGUUAGACACAGUUAUAAAGUUCAGAAAAGCUUUCCAAAGAAUGGAAGAAGACAAUAUAUCUUUUGCAAGUGAGCUGAACCAUGAAACUCCUAUUGAUGAUGAUUGGGAAAAUGCUAUUAUUAUUUCAAAUUUUCUAAAAGUAUUCUAUGAUGCCACCAAUCGGAUGUCAGGGAGUUCGUAUGUUAUUUCAAAUGAUUAUUUUGAAAGAAUAGCUCUUUUGUAUAGAUAUUUGAAAGAUGCGGUCAAUGCUUUGGAUCCUAGGCUUCAAGAUAUGGGUGUAAAAAUGAAAGAAAAAUUUGAUAAAUAUUAUGGAAGCUUGGAUAAAGUGAAUAUGAUGGUGUUGAUUGCGGUUGUGUUAGAUCCUAGGGCCAAGUUGAAUUAUGUGACUUUCUUGUAUGAACAAAUAUAUGAUGAUGAAUUGAAAGUUAAAGAGAUGCAUUACAAGGUGAAGGAUGCAUUGGAGCGUUUGUAUGAAUUUUAUAAGCAAUCUUCUGUUAUUUCAAGUGAUCAAAAUGUUGGUGGCCAUAGUUCGGGUACAAGUGGUAGUGCUUCCAAUGUCGAUUCGGGUGGUAGUGAAAGAAUAAAGAAGUAUGACGUCCAAGUUUGGAAAAAAAUGUUUUUAUACUCAAAUGAACAAGGGUGUGAUGACAACAAGUCCGAGCUUGAUGAGUAUCUUCAAGAAAAAAAUGAAAAGGAUCUUAAUCUUGACCUUUUGAUGUGGUGGAAGACUAAUGGCUCAAAAUAUAAGAUCCUUUCUUUGAUGGCUCGAGAUAUUUUGUCCAUUCCAUAUCUACCGUUGCUUCCGAGUCAACUUUUAGUACAUCGGGUCGUGUGCUUGAUGGCUUUCGAAGUUCUUUAACUCCUAAAGUAGUGGAAGCUUUGAUUUGCACUCAAGAUUGGUUGAGAGCCGUUCGUGUACCGAUUGAUGUUGAGGAGUGCAUCGAGAAUGCAGAAAAAUUUGAGUUGGGUAAGUGACAUUGAUUAUAUCUUUAUAUAUUGUAAUUCUUUUUGUAUAUCUAUAAGUGAAUAUUUUAUCUAAUCUCUCUUCUUCUGUUUUUUUUAGAUAUGGAUGUUGUUAAUGCAGAGAUUAUGGCUGGUAAAUAGAGUUUAUCAGCUAAAGCGGAAUGAAUAUAUGUGGUAAGUCCAUUAGACUUGUUUCUAAGUACAAUAAAAUGUUCAUGCUUCAUCUCAAUUGUAUUAUCUAAUGACGCCUACCCAUUCCAUAGGGAAACAGAACUGGACUUAUCAGUUUCAAGUGAAGGAUCAGAUUGGAGCGUAGCAACUAUGAUUCUGAACCUAUGCUGCGUUCAUGCGGUAUAACAAUUAGCAAUAGCUUUACUCAAGUUGAAGGCCGCGUUCUACCGGCUCCUAAGGUGCCACUGCUAGUUUCCCUUUUGCAUUUUUUUUGCUGGAUAAAAAAAAAAAUUCUGUUUGUUUGCAAUGGACUGUUAGACAAUCAUCUGCAAUAACACAAACUUCUGUGGCUUCCUUCCCAGCUAAACGUGGGCAAUGGAGAGGAUUUCUUCCCCCGCAAUGGACGGUGGAGCUUUCAGAGUAAGGUUAUUUGAAUUAUCUGCCACCAAUUAUUGUGUUCAAUAAGUCUGUUUAUGCUAUCUUUUCACUCUUCUGCAGAAAUUUGUUGAGCCAGCUAAGAUACAGAAAUGGGCUGUGGUGAACUUCUCUGCUCGGUGUGACAUGCGUGGGCUUAUAAGAGAUCUGACUAGAUUAGCUGAAAUGAAAGGACUUGUGAGUAUUAUAUCCUGUCUGCUGCAACAUUUUCCUUGAUGACUGAUAGACACCUUUUUUAUCCCCUGAUUGCCUUGUUAAUUGUGUUUCUUAUAUCUUGUCCGGUGUCAAUUAUAAUGCAACAUCUUCCAAUAAGCUAAUGAAUAGUCCGUGACCAUCAAUGAUGCAGCUCACCGAACAACCUUUUGACGUGUUUGAGGAAAGCCCCCAAUUCAGAAGAGCCCCUCCUGCUGUUAGAGUGGAUAAAAUGUUUGAGGAGAUACAGGCUAAACUACUGGGGUGCCGCUCCUCCUCAAAAGACUAAAGUAUAUCCUUUAUCAACCCCUGAUGCGCAUUCCUAAUUUGAACGUCAGCAUGCCGAGUUACUAAGCUGUUUAGUUAUCCUGUGCAGCAAAAGCAGCAUGGCUCUGUCACUAUGUGUAAGUAACCCUUCUUAGCAUAUCUGGAAGUUUUAGUUGUUUGGGUCUUCUCUUUUUUAAUUUUGGUGGUGCUAAGUUAUGUUUGCUGCUGUUUUCAGCUUUUAGAGAUGGGAUACUCAAUCCAAUUGGAGACAGGGUACGUUAGUUCCCAGCACAGCAAGAAACUUUCGAUUUGAUUAAGGCAUAGAACAUUUAGAAUGAAGUGUGUCGUUCAAAUGAUAGCUUGUGAUGUAUUUUUAGCAAUGCAUGAAUUUCUCUCCAGUUGUUUUUCUAACUAAAACUGUCAUACGGAUGUCGAUUUGCAGGCGAGUUCAAUAUGGUUGUACAUAGUACCUCAGGGGCUCAGAAGUUUAAUGAACUAUAUCAAGACAAAGUACGGGAACCCGCCUGUUAUUAUUACCGAAAAUGGUAAGUCUGCCGAGCUUUAAAGAAAAAAGGCAACUAGCAUACAGAUGCUACAUCUUUCUGUAAUAUCUUCACUGAAGUUGAAGGUCUUCUUAAUCCAGUCAUGACUUACUGAAGAAGAAAAGAUGCUCAAAUCUGUUGCCUUUGUCUGUUCUAACUUGGGUCUCUGCAGGUAUGGACGACCCGAGCCCGCCGCUAAUCAACAUCAAAGAGGCUCUCAAGGAUGAGAAGAGGAUCAAGUAUCACAAUGACUAUCUCACCAACUUGCUGGCCUCCAUCAAGUGCGUUACGAAUGUUCCGUGCGCUUUCUCUCUUUUUAUCAGUCGAAACCGAGCUCUUUCUAUGUCGUUCUUUCUAACAUUUUGCUUUAUAACUGAACCAGAGAAGACGGAUGCAACGUGAAAGGGUACUUCGUGUGGUCUCUGUUGGAUAACUGGGAGUGGGCGGCCGGAUACACUUCGAGGUUCGGCCUUUACUUUGUGGAUUACAAUGACAAGCUAAAGAGGUACCCCAAAGACUCUGUUCAGUGGUUCAAGAACUUCCUGAAGUCUACUUAACCAAUUAAUGAAGAUGAAGGAGGCGCCACAGUGGAUACUAAAGUCAACAAUUCUAAUGAGUAAUUCUUUUAGAUCCUUUUUGUGUUGUGAGUUAACCAAUUGAUGAUGAUUUAACCUGUAGUGGUCCAUUGCUCGAUGAUUACAAACAUACAUUUAUACCCAUACUUUCUUCCUGCAGCUUGGUGGCUUGAACUCUUUGUUGACGGUGGAGCGUUCUUCUAUUCCUGUGGUUUCCAAGGUUCCCAGUUCCCACCAUGAUCCUUGGAAUGGAUGUGUCUCAUGGCUCUCCUGGGCAUUCUGAUAUUCCGUCCAUUGCUGCGGUGAUGUGCUAAUUCAGCUCAUGUAAUUACUUGACAUGUAGCUUGUAGCAGGGGCAUAGUGGCUUAUAAGAUUCUCUGUCAAUUACAUCUCAAACGCAGGUGGUAAGCUCUCGCCAAUGGCCACUAAUUUCUCGCUACAGAGCAACUGUUCGUACUCAUUCCCCUAAAGUAGAAAUGAUAGACUCUCUGUUUAAAAAGGUGUCUGACAAAAAGGAUCAACGUAUCAUAAGGUGAGCUUGUGUUGUCUACUAUAUUUAUAUGGGAGAGUGCUUCUACUUAAUUUUGAAUCAUGUGCAAGAUCGCAUCUUAUGACCACAUGUGCAUCUUCCAAUAAUUUGUUGCUUUAUCCCAUAUGUCAAGCCUUCUUUUGGUUUCUGAUUUCAGAGAGCUUCUCUUGGACUUUUAUGUGAGUUCCGGCAAAAGGAAACCUGACCAGAUUAUCAUAUUCAGGUCUGUAUCUUUAAUGAUGUGAUGUCUUAAGUGUGCCUGAUUUAAUGCAUUAUCUAUAUUACCANNNNNNNNNNNNNNNNNNNNNNNNNNNNNNNNNNNNNNNNNNNNNNNNNNNNNNNNNNNNNNNNNNNNNNNNNNNNNNNNNNNNNNNNNNNNNNNNNNNNAAGAGCGUUGCUUUUCCAGAGUGGACUAUCCUGAUUCUAGGAAGCAGGGCUUUGUUGUUGUUCCAGAGCCUUCUCCUGAAAUAGUUGUCCAGCAGCAUUUUAUGCCAGCUCAAGCCCAGCCUAAAUUGGAGGCCAAGGCUAGCAAGCCAGUUACUGCCGAUUCUUGUCCUGUAGGAGGCGAACCUGCUCAGUCAUCUGGAUUCUGAACACUAGGUUCAUGAAUUUUCAAAAGAAUAUUCUCGAUUUCCUGGUGUUGAAUCUAGAGUAGACAAUCUGGACUAUUCUAUUUCCAUGGAUCCUGUAAAGCCCAUUGAUAAGAGAAUGGAAAAUCUACUGAUAAGGCCCCCUGAGAUGCUGGCCAUUGAGCAUGGUAGGUUGCCAAGUGAAGAACAAAGAAAGACAGAGAUAUUGAAGCAAAAGGUACAGAAAAACCUGAACUUCCUAUAUGUUUUCUCAUACUACUCAAGCCACAAUUUCCGAGUCCUCUGCCCUUUCGGCACCUGAAGUUCCUUAUUUGCGUGAUAUUCGACCGGUGGAAUUCCAAAACAUGUCUCAAGCACCUAAUGUUGGUAUCCCAAGAUCAAAUUCACAAUCCAGGAUAGUUGUCCAAGCAGAACCUGAAAUUUUAAUCAUGAUACUCAUUUUCCUCCUCCAAAACCUACCAAAAUUGCACUAAGAAAAGAAGGCCUUGGAGCUAAGGAUCAAUUCUUGGAUAACCGUUCUGCAAAGGUCGGGGACUUGAAUGCAGAACUACAGUUGGAGGAUGGAGUCCAGCAACCAUUCAAUAAUCUCGCAAACUAUGUCAAUUCAGAACAUUUUCCAUCUUCCGAAGGUUGUUCUUUAUAGGACCGAUAUUCUAUGUUUCUAAAGUUAGUUUUCUGUUUUUCCCCUUUAUAUAUAUAUAUAUAUAUAUAUAUAUUUUUUUUUUUAUAGUUGUUUAAUUUCUCUUCUGAAGGUUCAGCAAAGGAUCUCAUCAAGCAAGAUCUUCGAAAUGUUGCUGAGGGUGUAGCUGCUUCUGUUCUUCAGUCGGCUCUUCCUUCUAAUCCUGAUUUAACAGUUUAUGAAGGAAAUGAGUCCACUCAUGAAGCAUACCAGGAUAAAAAUGUGCAGCAAGAAGCUGACACUGAGGUGAUUGAGCUCUUUUGUGUUCAUAAAGUGUUUGUAUACAUGAGGUUGCUUUGUCCUUCAAGUGCAUUCAUUUUGAUGAUCAUGUACAUCUGACAUUUUCAUGUAGGAUGCUAAUUCUAUAGUGGCAGAGAGGAUGAAUUUCGGGUUUCCAGUAUCAGAUGGCAUUGGUCGCUUGCAAGUGAGAGAUUUGCUUCACUAUGAUACAUGUUUGGUUUUCCUGGGACUCAGCUCUUAAUUUGCUUGGAUUUCCAUUCUGCAGAUAAUUAAGAACGGUGAUCUUGAAGAGUUGCGAGAAUUAGGUUCUGGCACUUAUGGGACUGUUUAUCAAGGAAAAUGGAGGGGUACUGAUGUAGCCAUCAAAAGAAUCAAUGAUAUUGAUAAGUGCUUUUCUGGGAAGCCCUCAGAGCAAGAGCAAAUAGUAUGGAUCUUCUUGCUUUUUGUUGUUUUUGAUAUUUAAUAGUAUUCUUUCUGAAUCCUUGGCACUGUUGCUAUGCUGAGACAGAGAUAUGAUUUCUAGAAUGAGGCAAUCAACCUUGCUGACUUGCAUCAUCCAAAUGUGAUGGCCUUUUACCUCCUCUUCGUUCUCAGUGGAGGGAUCAUCCAGCCAUUCCAAUUUCCAGCAGAGGAGUGCUGACUUUGGCGAAAAUCUUUGGGAACUUGAAGACACUUUAUCAGAAGCUGCAUCAAAGCAUGAGCUAUGAGUCUUUUGCUGAUUUAAACAAGUUUUCCCAGGUAUGCCACCUGCAUAAAGUUAGUAGGAUAGCAGGGAAUGCACAAUUUUUCCCAAGACACCAUUUGAUAGAAACGUGCAGGUGAACUUACCUUUAUGAUUUUAUGAAUUCUGUGUUCAUUAUAAGUAGAUGAAGCUAAGUCUGGCUCUUAUGCCUACAGUACAAUUAUGGCCAUUGUCAGAGCACAUUUCAUCCAUCAUGUGCUCGAACUAUUGGCUCUUAUUACACUCAUGAAUGUAAAAACAGCUUGUUUAUUACUUCUAAAAUGAUGUUUGCUGUUUGUGUUAUAUUAUCUUCAAUGAAUGACAAGUUUGUUUAUUAUUGAUGCAUUCAUUUUCAUUUUUUUAACUAAAAAUGAAAAAAAAAAAAAAAGAACCUGUUGGAACCUGGAACCGACCCCGGAACCUGUGACAGGGUAGGUUCCACGUUCUCGGUUUUGACGGGUAGGUUCCAGGUUCCAAAAAAUGAGGAACCUGUACCCGAGGGUAGGUUCCAGGUUCCAAGCGGAACCUGUAAGGAACCGGGAACCGCUCACCCCUAGCAAUAAGUACGGAAACUCAAGAUGAAAGGGAUUUCUCUAUCUAUGAUUGAUGAUAGAAGAUCUAACUAUCAGUGCAGAUAGGCCAGAAGUACAAGAAGGAAAUUGCAAGCAGGAAUAGGAAGUUAUGUGAAUUUAUUUCUGAGCUAAGAACUUAGAUUAACUUGUCAAAAUGAGAUUACAUAACCACAGAUAUACAUUUGCCUCUACUUCAAUGACCAUGGUUCAAGCUUCAACGAUGGUGGCAUGAAUCUAUUCGACAAAGGUCAAAAUGAUCAGAAGCUGAAAAAGGCAGCUUUCAGAGCUAAUACGGUCUAAAACUGUACCAGAGCUAGUUUACAUUGACAAAGUCUGCUAGAAAGCUCAUACGUCUAGACUUUGAGGCCUAUUUAAACAGGGACGGUCCUCAACUCGGCUGCAUUAUCUUCCUCAUGCUCUCCAGAGAUCUCCUCGAGUGAAUGGCCCUUUGACACUGGCACCAAGAAGAUGAAGACUAUCCCAAAGAAACUGGUCACGCCGAGUGUGAUCAAGGUCUUCACGAAUAAUUACAACAAAUGGCGGACUGAUUUUCUUGCUCAGUUUGAAUCAAUGUUGCGGAGGAGCUAUGUGGCGAAGUUCAAAGUGGAAAGGGGUCGUGCGUCGUGAAUGCCAGUGCUCUAUUUGGCUUCAAAUGCCAGUGCAAAUCGGGUUGGAAGCAGAUGCGCCUUGACAAUGAAGAUGACCUCAAGUUCUAUUUGGCUUCAAAUGCCAGUGCGAAGCGGGUUGGAAGCAGAUGUGCCUUGACAAUAAAGACGACCUCAAGUUCCAUCCCAGUGUUUACAAGGUUGCAGGAAUUGUAACAGUAAAUAAAGCAAACACUUUGCCUUAAGUAAGAAAUCAUUUGGCUAGUUCUCUGUAGUAGAAUGGGAAAAAAAAGUGUGACUUGCCAAUUUUUUGCUCCAAUUAAAUGGCGAAACAAAUGGAUGAUGCGACUCUGAGAAGAUAAAUGAAAAACUAAUCCUAGAACAUGAAGCUCGAGAGCUUCAUCUGCAGACUCUGCACAUUACCUCACAUAAACAUUCAACGUUCAGAGCCAUAUGGUUGAGGUUCAUAUGAAUUGUGUUUUGCUUUUGUGAACAUAAGCUCAAGUUGCAAAUCUUCUUUUCGUGCAGGUUCUGUUGAGCACUCCUGCAUGCCCGGGCCUCCCCCAGUCCCAUCCGUUCCGUACAACGCAUGUGUCUUCGAUCGUAAAUCAUCUUCACCUCCCUCAUCAUUUUGGUACAUAAGUAGUAUUGAAGGGAUUUCUGGGUAGCUUGCUACUGGAUAUAUUGUGGAGGAAGGACAUGCACGAAGUCUGCAACUUAUGAGCACACUUGCCAGUGCGAUGCGGGUUACACGAUUCUCAUGAACGUCAGCAUCUUCCCGUGCUUCAGUGAUUGUAAGAUAUAAACUCAAAGACUCGAGAUUGCAAUUCAUUCUAAUUCCCAGUUUUUCCACUCACGCGUACCUUCCUUUUAACAUGUUUUGUGGAGGAUUCUUUGAAGGUGCAAUCGGUAACAACUGUUAAAAGCUCAGAAUAAAAGUUUCCAACUCAUUUACCACAGGAUCAGACAGCGGAAGUAAAGGUGACAUUCUGAAAACGUCUCUCUCUUGAUCUUAUCUUAUUCCAAUGGCCAAAACAAGUUUUCCAAAGAAAAGGUUGCUUGCUUCCCAAGGUUUCGAUUAAGUCAAAAAAGAGAAGUUCAUGUAGUUCAAUCUGAAAUGGCAGCUAUUAACAAUCACAUUUACAUAGUCACACCCCCUACAACAGCCUUUGACAGUGCAUUUGGUGUUGAAUGAAGACAAUCCAAGUCAUCAACUUCCUUUAACAUUAAACAGGGCAUUUAUGAACUACAAUCUAGUGAAAUUUUUACCAAACCUAAUGCCUGGUAUCUUGGGAAGUUGCUGUGGAUGACCAUCUUCACAGCAUCUAUGGCUUUGGUUCUAUGGAACUAGUAAGAGGGCAUCAUCACGAGACCGAGGCUUCAUGUGGAGUUGUACUAAAGACGUAUAGAUUAUACUCAAUUUCCAUUCGCGCAAUGGUUUAUGUUGCACUUUGUUCUUUAUUUGUUGAAGUGACAUUCUUGUGUAAAAUUGUUAUAGAAACAUGUCUAUCGUAUGGUUUGACACUACACUAUAUCACAUGUAUAAAAGAGACCAAUGCUUUCACUCCUCCUUUCAUUGAGGCUUCCGAGGAUUGCAACCAUUCUACGAUCAAAAGAAACUGGCGUUUUGUGAAACAUCUUGAUUGUGCAUUUCUUCGCUUUUCUUUCAGUUUUCAGCCUGCAAACAGAGCCAUCAACGCCCUAGGCAGAGCAUUGCAUCAUGAGUCUUAUCUUGGGGGAGACAGUCCUUGUGUUUAGCUAGGCUCAUUCCAUCAUCUUUAGAUAAUUUCACAGAAAGAUUAUAUAUUCGCAGAGAGAUUCUGAUGCUGAUAAAUAUUAGUCACAGAUUAAGGUGAUAAUUCAUAGAAAACUAAUCGUCCAUAUAAUAGCAAACAGAGAGAAUGGCAGAUAAUAAGGAUGAAUCCAAGAUAUAUUGCUGAAUCCUGAAAAUAAAACUAGAAAUCUCAACAUCCUCAAUUAGCAGGUCCAUCUUUUAGUUGCACUCUCUCCAUUUCUAUACCAAUAGCCACUAUUUGUGAAUAUCGAUUUCCUCAAAAGAAAAACAAAAGAGUAUUGACACGUAUCAUGCAUGAAUGAAUAAUGUUUCAAAAUUGAAGGCCAAAUCACUUCACAACAGAAACCUCUGGUUUUCGUCUCCCUUCAGUUGAAUCACUUCCAUAGUCUCACCAGCAACAUUAAAUACUAAAAACAGGAUACACAACUGUCGACAGGAGCGUACUCGCAAGUCACAACCUCGAAUGCAAUUGUCUAUCAUAACAACAGAAACUGAUAAGCAGAGUAUAUUCUAAAUGGCUUGAUAAUGAGUAUUGACACCUAAAUUUUGACGAUUUGUUUAAAUGUUUAUUAAUUGCAUUGGAAAAUUAGGGAUUAAUUUCUAACCCCUUAACAAAAAAUUUUCAUUAAAAUCGCAUCACAUAUAGACAUUAGGAGCAUUUGCGUCACUACUUUUAAAAUUUAUCAAAACAAAUUACCAAAAAAAAAGAGGGGUAGUCGGGCCAGGUUCAGACAAGCCUUGGGCUGGCCCCUUCCUCUCUUUCCUUUUCUCUUUCCCUCGCGCUGGGCCCGGCCCAGCCCUUUUUCCCCUUCAGCCCAGCCCGCGCACGAGCUGGUCGUCUCCCUCUUGCCGUCCUUCGCACGCGCCUACAAGAAAGGAAGAAAAGCAGCAACAGCAGAGGGGAGUAGAGGGAACUAGGGGUGAGCAGCGGUCUAGGGUCGACCCUGGACCAACCCUGGACCGGCCCAACCCUGCCGAUCCUAGUCCGGUUCCCAAGGGGACUGGGUCGGUCCUUGGUCCUGAAAUUCCAAUAUCAACACUGUGCGGGUUGGUCCUCGGUCCUAAGAGUUUUUGGUCGGUCCAACCCUGGACCAACCCUGUAUAUUAUAUUAUAUUAUAUUAUAUUAUAUUAUUUCUAAUUCUUUUAUAUAUUCAAACCUAAGUAAAAUGUUUGUUAUAUUAUAUUAUAUUGAGAUGUUCUAUCAAUAGCACUAAUAAUAAUUUCAAUUUAAAACUUAUGUUGAGUAUUAAUUAUGUGUUGUUUGUUUUGUUUUCAGGUGUUUAGAAGUUCAAGUGAAUUAACAAGAUGUGAAGUUAUAUAUCCAUGGUUUAUAUUAAAUAUUUUGAACUUUUUAUAGUGUAAUUGUAUUUUACUAAUGAAUUUCAGCUGCAUUUUGCUUUUCAAUUAGUGUUAAAUGGUAGAAGUUUUUGAAGAGUAGAGUAGUACUGCAGUUGCUAUAGUGAUUUGCUAGUCAAGUGGUGUGAAGCUCAUUUUUUGGUUGAGUGGACUCUACAUGAUCAAAUGCAGGAAAACGCUUUUGCAUAUGGUGUCAUGAAUAUUAAAGAUAGAUAAUUACAAGAACUUUCCAUCUUGUCCCAUAUUUCAAUGAGUUGUUAGUAAGUACGAAAUUUCUAUUAGUGUCAUCUUAAAUUUGCUAAAUAUGUAUUGGUAUUUAUAGUUUAAUUGCACAAUGCCGCAUUAUCGAUGGAUGUGUAAUUUAAAUUUGUAGGUUUGUUUUUUUAGGGAGUAUAAAAAAUAAGACGAAAAAAAUUAUCGAUCGAUCCCGGGUUGACCCUGGAACCGGACCGAACCCAUUGGGUCGGUCCGGUCCUUGGUCCCAGGCUCAAUAGGGUCGGUCCUCAGUUCUAAAAAUUAUGGACCGACACUGUACGGGUUGGUCCUAGGGUUAGGGGUGGCCCGGACCAACCCGAACCAUGCUCACUCCUAGAGGGAACAGCCGAAUCAGGGGACGAUCGGCUGGAGUUGGUGGUCGCGGAUCAGGCCGGCAAGGGCAGCUGGCACAGUAGGAGGCCGGGCGCCUGCGGAGAGAAGAAAAACAGAAGAAAAGAACAGGAGAGAGGGGGUUUUCUUCGGUAAGCAACCAAGAUGGAGAGAGAGCAAGUGAGAUAGAAAGCGAGAGAGAGCGAGAGAGAGCGAGAAGCAGGGAAUGAAGAGUGAGGCCAUGAGUGAAGGGCCUCGUCCAGCAGCCACCGCGCUUAGACCUUGGCCGCCGACCCUUGCCAACGUGUAUCUCCCCACGGUAGGUUCUAUGCGUUUCUUUUUUUAUUUGUUUCGAGUUGCUUUGAUUUCUCGAGGAUCCCGGUUCGGAGGCGUGCGGGGUUGACCGGACGUAGUCCGAUCUAUCGAUCUCGCUCGCCGUUCGCCGACCCCGAGCAGGGUAGGGACCCUCUGCCGACCCUUUUUGUGCCCUGCGUUUGCCCUGUCCCCUCACAUCUUUUGCGUGAGUUUCUGAGUCGGGGCGUGCGUUUCGAGGUCGCUUAUGCUGUCCUUCAUUGAUGUUGAGCAUUCCCUGCCAUUCGCGUUGAGCUUUGAUCUAGUUUCGAGUCUUAUUCUUGUCUGUGGCUGCCUUUCAUUUGACGCGCUCCAAAUGUAUGAUAUAAUGCUUCAGUUGGUGUUGUUCUUUAAACGAGACCCAAGUCUGGAUUAAUUCUAUGGAAGCAUACCGUGGACCUGUUUAAAAUAUUUUCAUCGACUUGAGAUGUCUUCUGAUUGAUGUAGGACCAACUCGACACCAAAGUGUGGGUUCAUCGAUAUUCCAUGUCUCUUUAGUGAACACGNNNNNNNNNNNNNNNNNNNNNNNNNNNNNNNNNNNNNNNNNNNNNNNNNNNNNNNNNNNNNNNNNNNNNNNNNNNNNNNNNNNNNNNNNNNNNNNNNNNNGGAGAGAGCUGAGAGUUGAUAUGCGGGAAAUUGAUGUUGCGAAGAGUCGACGUUCUGGGAACGUGGACUAGAGAAAUAGGAAAAUUACUAAUUAGCUCUUGGGGUGGGCUUGGUUAAAUUCAUUUCUAAUGUAAUCGUGUCGGGCUUGGGGCUUUAUUUGAGCAGGCUUGGGCUUGACGUGAGUUAGAAGAAUCUGGGCUUGGCAUGGCUGGUGCCAUUUGGAUUGAUUUGUUCAUUUGUUAUUUUUUUGUUAAGUUGGGACAGAUUGGGCUCAACGUAAUGAGGGCACUUCGGGUUAGGGCCUGGGAGGCGCGACCCAAGCCGCGGACUCGGGUCGGUCUUGGCCCAGACUAGAUCCGAAGACUCUACCCGGGUCCCAUUUUCGGAUCUAAAAAAGUAUUUUUAUUAGAAAUUAAAAAUAUAUAUAUCUUUAAAAAAAAAAACUUCAAAAAAAAGUUUUGGUUUUUUUGUAAAAAACUAGGGAAAAGUAUAUAGUUUUUGUGUAAUUUUUACUUAAAAAGUAGAAGCCCUUUGCUCUCUAAAAUUGUGUUAAAAAAUUGAACAAGCCUUUAUGAAUUUACCUUAGGGUUUUGAUUAUUCUUAAAGAUAAUUGUCCUUGGUUGCACAAUGUUGAUACGUGAAAUCUGGCUUCUCUUUAGUCUAGUUAGGAUUAGCAUUUGUCUUCUCUAUAGUAUUAAUUCUUUGAUUUCCCAUGCAAUUUAUUUAAUGUUUUCCUUGGUUGCUAAUUGUUAUUUUAAUGACUGCGCAUCCGCACGAUCACCUCACAUGUUAGUGGAUAUGUGUAAAAUCUGACAAAAAUCCUUUCUUUUAAAAUGAACAAGAUUGUGUGGCCAUUUAGAUGAACAACCUUCCAAGUUAGUGGUACCGCAAGCGCGCUAAUAGAAACAUUGGAGUAAACAAGUCCCCGUUCCUAAAAAUCUCUAGUUGCGUAGGAAUCGAGACAACACUCCCGCAUCUUGAUUAGUUUGUAGUCGACCCCAAUAGGUUAGUGGCGACUCCUAGAAUUACAUAGGUUGUUAAGAACUAAAAAUAUAAAAUCCAAUGUCGCGCGAGGUAUGGACUUGGGAGAGCCUGUGCCUAAUUUAGGGCCAUUGGUCCACCUAUUUAGGCAAAUACUCCUAAACCUUCUUUCUUUUCCCCUGGAUGGGAAAAAAGAGGUCGCGACAAUGCGCGUUACAAGGGCUGCCGCAAAUUGAAUGAUUUACACUUAAAGCAUGGGAGGACCCAUCGAACAUUUGAGUUGUUUAGAACAAAUUAAACGUGAUUACACAUCAGAGAGAUGCAAGACACAAUCUAUUUGAAUCUAAUGAAGAUUACAAUUCUCACCAAGGUGACUGCUGGGCAAAAAUGUUACUUCGCCUUUACAUCCAUGCUAGUUUUACCAGGAAUAAUCACAGUUGUCGCCAUGUGCGAGAACAACCCAUGGUCCACCAGUGGAGAUAUCUCCUUUCCUGCGGCAGGCAGCCUUAAUUGGAGUCCUGAAAUGCAAGUCUACAAUGUAGUUUGAGUUAUCCGUAACAAAAGGCUUCAUGUCUUCAUUCAAUUGUAGCUUUGCCUCACAUGCCCUUGUUCAAACAACUCUUGAAGUUGCACCUAUCAACAUCAAAAUUCCCAAAUCGAUCAGCUUCUCGCAACAUCAAGAACCGAAUGUUAUCAUGAUGAACCCCUGCUUUUCAGGAGUGAAAGCCAUCGAUUCCAGUUGGAUCCCAAAUAUGACUCCCAUGUAUCAACAACGUAUCAUCCUCUUAAACUAUAAUUAACACUGAAUUUCUAUUCGACGGAAUUUUGAGUACUUAAAAAAGGCUCUUGCUUCCAUGUCUUCAAUUUUACAAAAGUAAACAAAAAUGCUCACAACUUCACUCAAUUGCCGACCUACAAAUGAAUCAUGGCUGAAUUUAGGAGUUUCUUUUCCAAAACAUUAUCCUCACAACAAGAUGAGUUGUCUAACAAACGUUCACCUCAUUAAAUCCAUCGAAGAACAUCAUUUCAUGAUCGAAGAAUCCUACUACACUCAUCUUAAAUCCACAAAGCAAUCACUUCCUAGCACAAUAACUUCAUAAUUAUGGGGAAAAAAACCGCCCUUUCCACCCCGUUAUUUCAAAGCAGACGUGCUCUAAUGCGUAACCUACUACCGACAUGGUUUAAAUGAACCAAUGGAGUUUAGUAAUAAGACCACUAACCAGAUUGUACUUCCAAGUUUGUAAUAGACACUUCUUCAUACCUUGUCCUUGACGUGGGAGAGCUGACAGAGCGACGGUGUGCCAAAGAGGGAAAUGGAGGUGAGGAUGACGAAGUGGAGAGCCGAAGAAGCAGAGGUAGGUGAUUGAGCUGCAGUGCAGAAAACAAAGUGGGGAAGGAGACGAAUCCUAGUUACGCCCAAAAGCUUUAGCUCACUAAAAAUCUAUUGAAAAAAAAGAAAAAAAAAACACACAUUAAGUACACAUAAAUUUUCAAAGAGCCAGCUCAGAAAUUUAUUUUACCCCAUAAUACAAAUUCUGGGAUUUCACGGAUGAGGUGUUGAUACCGUUUCGUGCAUCGCUUUUUGCAAAAUCCCACAUCCAAAGAUCCAGAGUCUUUCUAGGGAGAGAGGAAGGCCAUCCUGGGAUAACUCCUGCAACUUCGGGCAAUGGAAGAUCUAUAAGGUCUGUAGAGAGGAAGGGAGACUGCUAGACAGUCUUUCCACAUUCCCCAUAAUCACAGCGGUCGCCAUGUCCAAGAACAACCCAUCCUCCUCUACUCCCUCCAGCGAAGACAUCUCCUUUCCUGCAGCAGGACCGUCCUUAAUUGGAGUCUUGAAAUACAAGUCCACAAUGUAAUUUGAGUCAUCCAUCACAUAAAGCUUCCCGUCUUCAUUCAACCUUAGCUUUGUUUCAUGCCCUUCUUCAUUGAACAACCCUUGAAGUCGCACUUAUCAACAUCAGAAUUCCCAAAUUGAACAGCUUCUUGCAACAUCAAGAACUGAAUAAUAUCAUUACGAACCCCUGCUCUUCAGGAGCAAAAUCCUCUGUCGAUUCCAGUCGGAUUACAAAUAUGACUACCAUGUAUUAACAACGUGUUGUCCUCUUAAACUAUAAUUAAUGCCGAAUUUCUAUUCAACAGUAUUCAGGGUACUUAAAAGGCUCUUGCUUCUGUAUGUUCAAUUUCACAAGUAAACAAAACCAUCAACUUAACUUAAUUGUUGACUUAAAAAUGAAACACGGCCGAUUUUUGAAUUUUUUUUCCAAGACAUUAUCUUCGCAACAAGAUGAAUUGUCUAACAAUCACCACAUCGAAAACAUCUAAGAACAUCAUUUCAUGAUUGAAGAGUCCUAAUACACUCAUCUUAAAUCCACAAAGCAAUCACUUCGUAGCACAAUAAUUUCAUAAUUACGGGAAAAAAUCUGCCUUUUCCACACCUUCUUGCUUCAAAGUAGACUUGCCCCAAUACGUAACCUACUAUUGACAUGGUUUAAAUGGACCAAUGGAGUUCAGUAAUGAGACCACCUACCGGAUUAUAAGUGUAAUAGACAUUUCUCCAUACCCUGUCCUUGUCGUGGGAGAGCUGAAGGAAGGGCAGCGUGACAAAGCAGGAGAUGGAGGUGAGGACGAUGAAGUGGAGAGUGGAAGUAGAGGUAAUUGAGGUUCAGACAACAAGGGGGAAGGAGACAAACCUUAGUUACGCCCAAAAGCUUCAGCUCACUAAAAAUCUGCAUAACCAGAAAAAACACACUUGUUAAGUACCCAUAUAAUUUUUGGGUCUAAAAUUAAAAUACAAACCAUUUUCAAAGAGCCAGCUCAGAAAUUUAUAAUACUCCAUAAUACAACUUCAGGGGUUUCGCGAAUGAGGUCCCGAUACUGUUUCGUGCAUCGCUUUUGCAGAAUUCCACAGAAGAUCUAGAGUCUUUCUAGGGAGGGAGGGAGGCCAUAUUGGGGUAAAUCCCUCAGCUUCGGGCAAUGGAAGAUCCAUAAGAUCCGGAGAGAGGAAGGAAGACUUCUGGACAGUCUUUCCACAUUCCCCAUAACCACAGGGGUUGCCAUAUCCAAGAACAACCCAUGCUCCACCACUCCGUCCAGCGAAGAUAUCUCCAUUCCUGUGGUGGGACCAUCCUUAAUUGGAGUCUUGAGAUACAAGUCUACAAUGUACAUGUAAGGCUUCGUGUCUUCGUUCAAUCGUAGCUUUGCCUCACACUCUUCUUCAUUGAACAACUCUUCAAGUCUCACCUAUCAACAUUAGAAUUUGCAAAUUGAUCAGCUUCUCGCAACAUCAAGAACCAAAUAGUAUCAUGACGAACCCCUGCUUUUCAGGAGCAAAAUCCCCCAUCGAUUCCAAUUGGAUCACAAAUAUGACUCCCAUGUAUUGACAAUAGUAAUGUACUCUUAACUACAAUUAAGGCAAAAUUUCUAUUCGACAGCAUUCUGAGUACUUAAAGGGCUCUUGCUUCCGUUUGUUCAAUUUUACAAGUAAACAAAACCAUCUGCUCACAACUUCACUGAAUUGCCGACUUGAAAAAUGAAACGCAGCCGAUUUUCGAGUUUUUUCUAAGACAUUAUCUUCGCAACAUGAUGAAUCGUCUAAGGUUAACCACAUCGAAUCCAUCUAAGAACCAAAUUCACAAUCCGGAUACUCCAACAUUCAUCUCGACUCCGUUAACUGCAAUUAUUAUAUCUAACCUGUCGAGAAUAGAGAUUUCCACUCAUCUUGAAUCCACAAAGCAAUCACCUCCUAGUGCAAUAACUUCAUAGUUACUGGAAAAAAAAAUAAUCCACCUUAAUCCACCCUAUUUCAAAGCAGACAUGCCUUAAUUCGUAACCCUACUACUGACAUGGUUUAAAUGGACCGAUCGAGUUAUAAUAUCGAGACAUUUUACCAGAUUGUACUUCCAAGAAGUCACGUAACCCUUCUCCGUACCCUGUCCUUGUCGACAAGAGGGAAGGCUCUGGUGGGAAACACAAGGGGCGAUGGCGUCGUCGCGCUAGAGCUGAAGAAGCGGCGGCGUGAUAAAAAAGAGGGAAUAGGACGACAAAGUGGAGAGGCAAAGCAGCAUUAGGUGGCGAUGGAGGUGCAGACAAGACAACAGGGGGGAAGGAGACAAUGAUGAAAGAAGAAGGGUGGGUUAUUCUUGGCACCUCCCUAGCGUAGUUACACUCAAAAGUUUCAACUUUUUCAUCUAUCUGCUAAAAUUAUAUGAACUUGUGGGAUUUCGCGGAUGAGGUGCCAAUCGUGGCCGGUCUAUUUUGUGCAUCGCUCCUCUAGGAUCUCACCACAUCCUUGGAUGGAAACCAAGCCUGUAGACCUAGCCGCGUGCCAUUUCCAAUGAGAGUAACGAAUUACAGCAGAUACUUUGGCCUGCAGAGGAAGAGAAGAGUCAUAAGUUAUUCUCCUUAAGAAAUGAUUCUGGCAAGAUCCCAACAUUGUGUCACAAAUCAUACCAAGAAAAAUAUUAUCUCCAUUACCCACUAUAUAUCCAAUGUGGGGUUUCAAAAUAUUUCCGACUUUUAAUAAAUUCCUCCAAGCAUAAGUAGCAUAUGGUUCACAGUCAAGAUGAUAGCUAUAAAGCCAGGCAAAAUAUAGAGACCACACCUCUACAAAAUUCUCCACAGACACUUUAAAAUACAAGCAAGAUUUCACAAAUCCAGUCUUCGAAUGCCAAGGCCUCCAAACUGCUUAAGAGGACGGACAGUCCAUCUAACUUUUGCUCUCUCUUUAGCAUCAGGAUCUCCCUUCCAAAGAAAAGGCUCUACACUUAUGCUCAAUCAUUUCAAAAACUUUCUUGGGCAACAAAAAGAGUUGACACUAAUAGUUAACCAGACUAUGAAUAAUAGAUUUGAUAAGCUAAAGUUUUCUGGCAUAUGAGUGGCUUUUAAAUGUCCAAGCUUUAAAUCUUUUUGUAAUUUAAUGAUUUUAUGAGAGCCUUAUAAUCCUUGGUUGAGAGUCUUUCAAACAAUCCACACUUACUAAAAGAAAGAACCAACAUAGGGUUGGUUGAUUGGUCAUGCUGUUUAAUUCGAUUGUUGCAUGUUGUAUAAAUGCAGUUUUUAAAAACUUAAACUAUUAAGAAACGUGCCAAGCAAUGCCAAGAAACGUGCACGCACGCGCCCGCCCGCCCGCCCGCCCGCCCGCACCUUGCGCACGCACGCACGCACGGAAUGUGGACACAAUCACAUCAAUGAGAUAAUUGGGAAUUGAUAACAAACAACAUAACGGACGAUAAAUUUUAAACCAUUGGCAUGUGCUUUGAUACAAUACUAUAAAUAAACAAGUAGAAUGCCGACAAUAUGCUAAUCCUUCAGAAGAGAUUCUUCUUAGAUUAUGAUUAUACCACAUUAUCAUUACUUGUGUCUUUUAAACAGCCAGUCGAAAGAAACAGCAUAAACAAAUCUACUCACCCUUUAAACUUUGCCAACCAGCGUCUCCAAAGUCCAUGGUUAUGCAUCUUUAGUUCCAAAGCAGCUCCUCCUCCUCCUCCUAGACUUAACAUAGACCUUUCCAUGGGUCCUUACGCCGUACCAAGAAACUUCGUCAAUGGAAAUUCCAAUGUAAUCUACAAGGCGAGCAAGAUUUAAAGACUCCUGGCGAAUGGGCAGAGCACAUCAGAUUACGAAAAAGAAUUGGUGGGUGAGUGUAGAAAACUGCUGGAAUGGAAUGCACAAAAAUAAGCCGAGAAAUCCAAAUCCAAAUGCGACAGGUCCGUUAAGACAAAAGUGACUACGAGUAGAGGAGUAGUAAAUGGCAGAGAUCGAUCAAUACCUUGAUUUUUGAAUGGAAAUAUUAUGUCCGAGGCAUAGGAAUCUUUGGGAGAUGGGAGACAUGGGGUGAUCUGAGGUGAGGACGAUGACGGAGUGGAGAGGCGAAGCCUAGGGAGGCGAUUGAGGUGUAGAGACGACUGAGGGGAAAGCGGAGGUGAUCGAUACUAUGGAAUCUCCUUCUUCGAGAAGAGCCAAGGCUCAAAUAUUAAAAAUACCCUAAUCUCUUUCAUGUCGAAUAUUCAAAGUCCAAAUUCCUUUUUUAAGUAAUUGACUUGGAGUAGUAAUUACCCAAUGUGACUUUUGGGAUUUCGCAGAUGAAGGGCCAAUAUUUGCCGGUCCCUUCCCUGCAUCGCUCCUUCAGAAUCUCACAUCCUGUGAUCCAGAGAUGUUCAAGGGAGGGAGGGAGGCCCUCUUGGGGCAACUCACUCAGCUUGGGGCAAUUUUGGAUCUCUAAGAUCCGGAGAGAGGGAGGGAGACUGCUAGACAGUCUUUCCACUUUCCCCAUAUCAAAUAUACGGAGUUCAAGCAGAGAGGAAGGGAGUGGAAGCGGAAGGUCCUCCUCUCCUCCCACUCCUCCCACACUGCCGUCGAUCCGCAGAACUUGAAGGUAGGUGAGAGAGGUGAGCCACUCCCUCACCGGCUGCUUCAUAUUCUUGCAUCCACUCACGUUAAGUUCCUGUAACUGGGGCGGCAAUCCUCCAUCGGGGAAGCGCGUAAUAUUCUCACAUCCACUAAUUUUCAUACUUUGGAGACUCGUGAGUUGAUGCAACUGAUUAGGUAACAAUUUUAUCUUCGGACAAUCCCAAAGCCAAAACGUCGAGAUGCCGAGAGGAAGAGGAGGGAAGCACUCCAACUCCAGUGCAGGACACUCCCACAACCACAAGGAAGUGAGGUGAGAUAACAAUUGUAGAUCUUGUGGUAAGCUUCUUAAGUUCUCGCAAUAGAUAAUAUUGAUGCUUUGAAGUGAUUGAAGACGGUCUAUAGGUAUCUCCGCGAGUGACUCCACUCCCACACACCAUCCUAUUUCAAGUGUCUUGAGUGUCAUAGAUAAAUGUCUACUCUCGCUAAAUGGAGAGGCUAGUAGAGAAUUGCAUUUCCAAAUUUUUAAUUGUUGCAAACAAGAUGUCAUGUUACUGUGAUUAUCGCUGCUGCUGCUUGGUUCAUCCAUAUGAACACUUAAUCCUUUAGGUAAAGAUUGCAACAUCUUGCAAUCUCGAAUACUUAAUGAUAUCAAUGAUGCCAACAGGCCUGUUUCGGGGAAGGACACGAGUUUUGGACACUUCUCGACAAUCAAGUCUUGAAAAGAGGAAAGGGUGUAAAUCUCGCUUGGGUGCUUCCCCAAAUUGAUGCAAUUCUGUGUGUUCAUGGUUUCCAACUUGCUAGACAACUCUAUAUCUCCUUCUUCAGCUGAAAAGGAUAACAAUUCAGGACAACUUUUGACAACUAAGCUCUUCAGACAAGCGAGAUUCCAAAUUACAUCUCUCUCCGGCCACAAGUACAUCAAAUUUUUACAAUUGUCCAUCUCUAACUUCUCCAGCUUGACCAAGGAGCUUGUAAACCCAAAGUUCAAGCAAGUUAAUUCAACAUCUUGUAUGACAAGAGCGGUUAGAGAUGUCAAGUUUACCAAACUCUUUAGUACACCCACAUUACAACCUCUAAACUUUAAUUCAUUGAUGGAUGGAAGGCUAAUGAUAGAGGACGAGGCAUCCAUACGUGGACAAGAGUUGAUUUCCAGCUUUUUGAGGGAGCUCAGUUGACUAGGCAAUCUUCUAAUUAACAUAGGACAAUCCCGAAUGACCAAAUGCUCAAGACAAGGGAAUGAAACUCCUAUUUCUUCAUUGCUAAAGCGAUGAGACCAUUCCUCCCAUGACGGCAUGUCCUUGAAUUCCAGAGUCAUUAAGGACGGAAAAGGACUUUUGGUUCCAUAAAAUUCAGACCCUACCGUGCGUAGUGCAUUUAGACCUUCAAUGUAUAGUUCUUUUAGAGAAGAUAAUUGUCCCAAUGAGGCUAGUGCUUUGGCCCUACAACAUCCAUGUAAACGUAAAUACACUAUGUUAACAUGUGAGGGACUUUCUAACCAUGACGGGAAUUUUAUGCCACCAUAGUAGGAUAUCACGAGAUUUUCAAGGUUUUGGUGAGGGUGAAGAAAGUCAAGGACCUUUGCUUCAAGCUCCUCAUUCCGAGAAUUUUUAAAAUCUAGACUCCACUGCAUGGUCAAUCGACAUAUUCCCUCCUUUGUGAGUAAAUUGGUGUCCCUAGCAUCUUCGACUUUUUGAACCUUAUGCAGAUCAGAGAUUAACAAUUCCCCUUUGAGGUUUUUCAGGUUUUUUAACUCCUUCAAUCUAGACCCAUUUUCUGUUCCCACUACAAAUUUGGAUAGCAUCUCAAGACCGGCCAAAUUACUUAUAUACAACGGCAUCGCUCUUAGGCUUGAAGUGUCGGUAAUGUCAAGAAAUUUUAGAUUGAUCAAUUUCCCCAUACCUUUUGGUAAUUCGGAAAGGUUUUGACAACCCCGCAACAUUAAAGCCUCUAGAUUGUAUAAUGCAACAAUCGACUUUGGAAGCAUUUCAAUAUUGGUAUAUGACAAAUUGAGGUGCCUUAGGAGCUUCAAUUUGCCAAUGACAUCCGGUACCUUUCUAAUGCAAUAAUGACGUAAUGAAAGAACCCUUAGGUACUUCAAUCUAGAUAACAAGUCAUGUAGCACUUUCUCGGACAAAUAGGUUUUAUCAUUAUGCUUAAAUUGCUUCUCUAAUGAUAUGAAGCUCCUAAGUCCCUUCAUUCGAUGAUAUAUCUUGAGUCUUCCUGGCGUAAUGUGAUCGCUGGGAAUGAAUGAGGCGUGACGAGCAAAAGAUGCAUUGCUUUGAUUACCCUCAAACUCAAACUCCUCUGGGCUAAAAUAAGUUACACCAGCAACUAGCUUUGCAAGGUCAUUCACAAUAUCAUGCAUCAAGAAUCGUGAUCCGUUUAUACUCGACUUUUGAAAUAAUGAUCUAGAUACUAGCUCAUUAAAAUAAUUCAAACCUUCAUUCCAAAUGUCAUUUGCUUCUUUUACCUCCAACAAGCCCUCUGCAAUCCACAAAUGAAUCAAGUCGUCCCGUUCAAUUUCGUAGUCAUUUGGAAAUAUAGCACAGUAAGCAAAACAUCUCCUCAGAUUGGAAGGGAGAUGAAGAUAACUAAGUUCCAAAGUCGAAAGGAUCUCAUUUCUUUCUUUUAGUAGGUCCCAAAUUUUGCUAUUCAAAAUAGCUUCCCAUUCUUGGGGAUUCACUUUAGUACGUAGCAGCCCGGCCAAUGUUUUUACUAUUAAUGGCAACCCUUUGCAUUUUUCCACUAUUUUCCGGCCUAAUUCUUUUAGAUGUGGAUGAUGAUCAAAAUUUUGUACUCCGAAAGCAUGAUAUUCAAACAGUGUCAUACAAGCAUCUUGUGACAACUCUCCGAGAUAACAUGGUGGAGCAUCGGCUAAUGAAGCAACGCUGCUGUUACGAGUGGUGAGGAUGAUCUUGCUUCCCUUUGCUCCCGAUUGAAGAGGCUUUAAUAGGGUAGUCCAAUUUUCGUUCCAAACAUCAUCUAAAACAACAAGAAACUUCUUCCCCGAAAGGUCUUCCUUGAGCCUAUCUUGAAGCCAAUUCAGGUCCUUACCUUCAUAGGGUAAAAGGCAGCUGGUGUUCCUUAAGAUACUCUUUAUGAUAGCAAGCACGUCAUAAUCUUUGGAAACGAAAGCCCAUACUUUCACGUCGAAAUACUCAAUGACUCUAGCAUCAUGGUAAACUUCUUGAACCAGAGCUGUCUUCCCCACACCCCCCAUCCCUACGAUGGGUAUUACUUUUAGAUUUGCACAUGUUCUAUCGUCUUCUUCUCUGGUCAGUAAUUCAAGGAUCUUGUUUAUUUCAUUGUUCCUGCCAAUAAAACCAGGCUCGGGCAAACACGUGGUUGGAAACGGCUUUCGAUUCUCGUUGUUCUCUAUGAAGUUCAAAGUAUCUUUCCGAGUGAUGACAUCUUGUAGUUUGCCAUCCAUCUCUUCGAUCGUGGAUCUCAUUUUACGGUCCAACAUAAAUGCUCUUGGGCUCAAUUUGAAGCAACAACUCGGAAGAAGGGAGCGCACCUUGCUAUUGUCGAGUUCUGCCUCGAACUUAUUUUCCGCGGACUUUGUGGCGAACUCAUCAAGCAAGUCUUCGAUGUCAUAGGCCAAGUUCCUGAGAUCUUCGAGCCACGACUUCACCCCAAGAUCGCCGGUCAGUUGUCUAUCCUCUGCAUCAUCCAGCACCUGAUUGAUGCUGAGCAGCAUCUUCUCCCAUUUCUUCAGCAGCUUAUCGAUCCCCUUACGGCGCGCAAAGUUGAGCACCGCGGGAGAGGCCAACCUCUCAAACAGCACAGGAAGAAGGUCGCCAAGAAAGAGCUCCGCGGUGGGCAUGAUAGCUUGAUCCGGGAGCGGCGGAGGAUUAAACAAGAGUGCCUGAAUGGUUUGAAAGAAGUGUGCUGAGUGGAGAGGAAACAAAAGUCCUUACGUCCGGGACAGUAGCAUCAGAUGAUGGGUGUGAAUAAAAGACUUUUUAAGCAUUAAGUACUCUAGUCAGAUUCGAGGUGGCCUUUGCCUUAGUGGAGAUCUCUUUCAUCCAGUUACACUGAAAAAUGGACGUUGAGGCCACACUCUGUGUAAUGCGACAUUCGUUGAUUCUACCCGAGGUAAAAUGCCGUAAUGAAAGGCAGAUAGAACUUCAGCUUUUUAUCUAGUGGGCUGCCUUUGCCGCGUAGAUGGAAAGAUUCUUUCCGCAAUUCUAGUGCAUAUUGGCCCAAAUUGUGGGUCCCCUCCCUCACCGUCUCCAUCUUCACCGAGCCUGCGCGCUUCACCCGCUGUUCACCUCUCUUUUGUUUUCUUAUUUCCUUCUCCUAAUAAUAACAGACAAGGGGCCCAUUUCUUUUUCUUUCUUUUUUCAAUGUUUUAAACUUGUGCUAGCUAUACUGAAUUUGCGAUCAACAAAACUGUCGGCGGAGCCAAAAGGAAAAAGAAAGGCUUUAACUUUGCGGUCGUCGCUUGCGCUGCGAAAGUUGAGCCUCUCUUUGGAAUUGCCAGUGACGAGCUGGAACGUCGUGAAAUGCCCGCCGUUGAUGGAAGAAGCGGCUUGAGAAAACCCAAUUAAAACCCAUGGAGAGAGGAGAACAUAGACCUUCCCUUUUCCCAUCCUUCUCGCCUGCAGCCUCGCAAACCGACCUGGAGGUCCUAAACAUCCUGAACCAAAGAGAUGAGUAAUUGUACUCAUAUCCACGGCUAAUUUUCAAUCAAAAUGACCACCACUUUUUUGUUAAAGAAAAUACUUUUAGGGUGCUUAUUAAUCAAUUGAUAAAAUAAUGUAACUUGCUUUGUACUGAUUUUUCCACGUAACAUAUAUGACAAAAUUUCUGAAAGUGGAUACGUCAUUCUUAAGGAAAGUGAUCAUAUAUAUAUAUAUAGACCUAAUAAUUGCUCUCGCUUUCAAAAUAACUAGAAUGUGACCCAUGCAAGUGCAUGGGACCAAUUGAAGUUUACACAUCGACAUAUACAUCUUGCGUCUUAAAAUUUAGUACUUUAUUGUAGAAAAAACUUGCAAAAUGGAUAAAUAUGCUAUCAAUUUUAUAAUGACUGGCUAAUACUAGACUAUACAAAGGAAUCGGUCAAUACAAAAGAAUACAUAUAAGUCAAACUAAGAAUAAACAUGUCGGUAUAUUUAUGUUGAUUUUUGUUGUAAAAACAAAUGAUCGAACAAUAAUAAACAAGAAAACGAAAAAAGUAAAUGGGAUAUAGAAUAUAUUUGAUUUAGUCAGUAUGACUUAAUCCACGGGAAGAGUAGUAUCAUAUUGCCGCACGUGCCAUAUAAAACUGGACCAUCAUAUUAGCAAUUUUAGGUAAAAUUGACUGAGAUGAUUAGAUUUAAAACUCACACAAAGAUUUAGAAUAGUAUUAGCAAAAUUAAUAAAUUUAGGACUACAUUAAAAUUCACACAAUAAACAUUUUUAAGAUUGACUUGGUAAUUUUUCUAUUUGAAAUCAAAGUGGACGUGGUACGAUAGUUAUGACAGCGACAUCAUUCUUAACCCGAAUUUUUUGGAUGAGCGUUUGCAAAUUCAAGAUCAUACUGGUCUUCACGUGUCUCAUACGUCAAUUCGCAGUUUUAAAUGUCCACAGUCCACUACAGGUCCUAGGACAAUAGUGUCUACGGCUUCUUUAGCUUUUUCUCCAAAGUAACAGUAAUGUCACGAGUCAUUUGCAGUGAGAAACGUGAUGUGUUUCACAUUAGGACGAUCUUGGUCUUUUCACAACUUACAUGUCCAUCCUUUGAUUUUUUCAGUCAAGAAGUAGCAAAAGUCUCCGAAAUGAGGUCCGCCCUCCAGUAAGGACAAUGAUCUCCUUUUCCUUUUGCUUUUUCCAAACCACUGGCAAUAGGCCUAUUUGAUUCAGUUUUUGAAAAAUGACUUUGAGAAAAUAUAAAUAUUUUUUAGGUAAAAUACUAUACCAUUUGAUAUAUUAUAAUCUCAAAUAGCAUUAAAAAGUAAUUUUAGCACAAAUACUGUUUGGCAAAAUUCACAUUUAUAAUGGGCUUUUGCUAUUUUUUAUUUUAUUUUUAGUUUGAAAAUAAAAUCCCGCGAUCGGCUAACCUCCGACCAACUGCCGGACGGCCAGAUUUGGCCGUUUGAGAUUGCGACCUCAAGCGACAUCGUCGGUCGCAAAGGCUAGAUCUGGCCGUCAGAUGGCCAGGGCGGCCUUUGGACCAUUAAAUCUAGCGACUUGAGGUCACACGAGCUAGGUGGCAUCACCUGGUUCGAGUGCGCCAGGCAACGUUGCCUGGCUCGCGGGUCACGCCACCCCAAGCGGUGGUCAUCGAGGACUCGCGACCCCUAGGCAAUGAUGGCGAUUGCCGAAGAAGCUCAACUCUCAGAUGGGGAAGACGAAGAUGAACAGUGAUGCGGAUAAACAGUAAACUUGCAUUUCCAAAAUUUCGAAUAUUCAAAAUAGGUCCAGAGUUGCAUUGAGCUUUCAGCAUUUCUAAUACUGAUAUUUGGCCAAUGAGCUUUCAAAAAUGUUUGUCAAAUGCAAAAUAUUUUCCCCACCUAAAAUUCCUUGGAAAAGCAUAACCAAACGGGACCAAUAAUGGAUAUCCGUCCUUUGUUUUAUUCGAACAAGGAGUAGCAAAAGUUUCCGUAAUAAGGUCGUUACCAAAAAAGAAAAAAAUCCGUAAUAAGGCCCCCUUCAAGGACAAUGAUAUCUCCUUUUCCUUUUGAUUUUUCGAAAAGUGACAGCACUCUACGUUUGAUUGGACUGCCUUAUAAGGAAAUUACCUUUAGGGUGCUCACAAAUCAAUUAGUAAAAGUUUCAUUAUACUGAUUUUUCCCAGGAAUAGAUGUGAGGAAAUGAUGCACCACCUUCUUCUCAAAAGCAAACUGACAAAAAAGAUGUGAAAAGUCUGACCCGUGGUUCCUAACAGAUGAAUUACAGCUAAACACUAGGUCAAUUGCUCAUGUGACUGCAGUACUGAAAACAUAUCGUUUAAAGAAAUUUAGGGAGCCCUUUCUCUGUUUCUUCCGGAGAUAACUACAGGACUCUGCAGGCAUCAAAUCUUGUACUUGAAGUCAGAACAUUACAAUAUUGGUUUUAAAAUUGUAAAGUUGAUCUUCUCACACAGAGUUCAUAUAAACCCCGAUUGCAACAAAGCUUUUCUUGAUUAACAACUAGUUGCCAUUUGUUCUUUACCAAAAAAAACUAGUUGCCAUUUGUAGGGACUGACUUCGUUAUAAUGCAUGUGGUGCGACCUUAUUGACCAAAUCUGAGAGAAUAAACAUCCAAACAAGAAAAGAAAAAACAAGUUCUCGCAACUCAUGACCCAAAAACAAGUCAUCGUUCUCAGAUUUCACCGUUGAUCCCCUAUCAGAGAUGCCCUAAGAUGAAUUCUAGUGUGAGAAUGCACGAGUUCUAGUGUCCACAAGUUGUCACUUUACCUGAAUAACACGAGAUGACUCCCAAUAGAACUCUCUAAGGGCACGCAUGACAAAAUUUCUGAAAUAGAAAUUCUCAAUUUUUAUUCCAUAAACAAGUUUCUCAACAAAGAAACAUAUUUGAUAAUCAUUCAAAAUUUAUAUUUCUAGAGUAAAAAUUCGUUUGAUAAGAAGCAGCGACGGUCAGCAUUCGGUGGCCAGAGCCUGAUGUCCAGCGAUUGACGUCCCGCGUUCGAUGAUGGACGGCGGGUGGUCGGAGUCCAGUGUCCGGCGUCUGACAUCUGGAGGCCAGCGACUAGCGACUAGCGGCGAGUGGCUAACGGCCAAAGUCCAGCGGUCAACAUUCGAUGGCCGGCGACCGGCGGUCGGCGGCGGGUGGCCAAUGGUCAAAGUCCGACGGUCGACAUCCAACGGCCGAGGGUGAUUGACGGGCAGUUGGCGGGGGACGUUCGACGAUCAACGGUGGGCCUCCGGUGUCCGGUGGUUGGCGAUGAGUGGCCAACGACUAACGAGCAUCCAACAUCCGGCGGCCGUCGAUCGAUGAUGAGUGGCUGGAGUUCGAUGGCUGACAGUUGGUGUUCGGUGGCCGACGGUCGGUGGCGAGUAGCUAAUGGCCAGGGCCGGUGGCAAGCAGUCGACAACCAACGGCAGGCAUUUGGCAUCCCGCGGGCAACGAGUUGGCAACGGGCGAUGACGAGAGUGAACAAUGAAGAAAGUUUUGAUUUCUCAUUUUUGUUCUAGAAAUAUAAAAGUUAAAAAUUUUAACUUCUGAUUUCUACUCCAAAUUUAUUUCUGGAAUAGAAAUUUGUUCUAGAAAUAGAAAAAUGAAAUUACGUUAUCAAACGGAUUUCUGUUCCAAACCUGUUCUAGGGAAUAGAGAGACAGAGAAAUAGAUAAAUAAAAACGUUGUCAUGCGUGUCUUAAACCAAAGAAAACCAAGAUCACUCAAAGUCACCGAUGUUGCUGCAGCACAGCAAUACGAAGCUAAAUUAGUCCAAAAGCUUUCUGUGUAUCGUCUACAGCAAUACAAGUAAACAAUAAUUGGUGCUGACUGUUAAAGAAAGUUUAUAUGUCCCAAGAAAUGCUGACAUGUCUAUAAGUGAAUGAAAUCACGCAAAUGACAUUAAUGGGGCCGGGGAUUACAAAAUAUAAAACGGUUAACAGAGAGGAAAGGGAACGAUCAACAAUGGACAUUCAUUUCCUUCUGUCUUUUUUCUAACCAACUUUGAAGGAAGCAGUAAUCUAAGCGAUAUGGCUUGCCCUCAUUGGAAGCUCAAUUAGGAAUCUUAUUGUAAAAUUAGAAAGCCAGUAAAGGGUCAAAAUUUGGAUUACACAUCGAGCAUGUGAUUGAUGUGGUUAUCCAAACAAAAACAAGAACAGCCACUAUAAUAACGAUGGUGUUAGAAAGAUAGAGGAAAACAAUGUAGUCAUUACAUUUGCAUCCGGACCAAAAGGCAUUCUCUAUCCUAUAGGAGCAUGUCGUUUCUCACCUAGUAAGUGUGAAGUUCUACCACCAAGGCAAAUGUGAAAUAGCUUCUCCAUUCACAAUGGUGAUCCACUUCAACUGCUAGUAAAACUGCGGGAUGCUGGUUGUGAGAUCAGCGGUAUAAUUUUAGAAAAGGUAAAGUUGAAGUUAUUGAAAGAGUUUUCUAGUCUGCAUUAAACUCCUCUUAUACACUAUUUUCACAAAGUGACAAAUGCCGAUAGUUUGACAUAAUUGAAUGCGCGGGAUUAUAGAAAAGUAAGAUGCAUUGAAAGAAGGAAAGAUAAAAGAUCUUGAGCACAUCAAACUGUAGAUGAAAUGCAUGAGGUCUAAUACAGUGCAAUCGAAGCAGCAAUUGAACCGUUUUUCAUAAAAAUUGUACUAAAACAAGUAAAACAAAACAAAACAUAUGUUUGCGACCCGCUUUGGAACUAAUUGUGCGUAUAAUUUUUGGCAAAUAUAAUUCAUCUUCUCACCUCCUUUUUUUUUUUUUUUAUCUCUGGUCAAGAAUGGAAAAUAUUAAACAGCAACAUGAGUAAAUGGAUAUAUUAUCAAGGCUUUAGUCCAAACAACUUAAUAACUCAUUUUAAUAAGUUAACGAACCUUUUCUUUAUUAUAAUUCCAUUUACUUCCAUUUAUCAUAUACAUUUUUAGAAAAGUUAAAGCCACGUCAUCAGACUAGCGUAAACAUUUAUAUGCACAUAUCUUUCCAAGUUUCUGAAUAGUAAACUAUCACAUUGUACUAAACAAAAGCGACUUUUUCCUCAAGGCUAAAGUUUCGAAAACAUUAAAUAUGAUUUUUUAUUGUUUAUAUAACAAUGCAUAGACAAAUGUAGAUUCUUUAAGUGAUUAUUCUCAACUUAUUUAAAUUUUUCAACGAUUGUGAAAUAUUUUUAGUCGAAAAAACUGUAUAUAGACAAUAUAUAUCUACAUAUAUAUAUAUCAACACUGAAUUGCAUUAUUUCAAAAUUGAAAAACAGAAUUGAUCUGCCAUUAUGACAGCAUGUGCUUCUUGCAACUUUUUUUUUUUUUUUGGUGAAAGGUAAAUAGUGCUUCUUGCAACUUUAUAUAUGUAAAGUAGAAAAAACUGUCGGCAGACAAGGGGCCCAUUUCUUUUUUUCUUUUUCUUUUUUUUAAAUGUUUUAAACUUGUGCUAGCUACACUAAGGCCCUGUUUGGCAACGUGCCAAACAGUGACUGAUUCUGAUUUUUUGUUCCCAGAAUCAGUUUAGGACGAGAAUCGCGUUUGGUAAAAUUUUUGUUCUCGGGAACAAAUUUGUUCCUAGAAUCAGUUUGGGAGAAGAUUUGAGAAUAAAAAAAAAGUUGAUUCUGCAUCCGAGAAUCAAAAAAAGAAUCAACACAAUAAAACUCUUCUUCUUUCCUUCCACCAUCCCGCGACCGUCACCCGCCGCCAUCCGCCGCCGCCCACCACCGCCUGCCGUCGGCCGCCACCGGUCGCCGGCCGCCGGUCCGGCGAGCUCGCCGGAGGCUCGCCUGGCUAGGGCGAGGUCCGACAAGCUCGCCGGAGGCUCGCCCAGCCACCAGCGAGCCUCGCCGGGGCUGAGCGAGGCCCGCCUGGCCACCGGCCGAGCUCACCUAGCCUCUCCACCGGCGAGGCCGAGCCUAGCCCGGCCGAUGGCUAGGUGAGCCUCGCCCAGCCCCGGCGAUGCCCGCCUGUCCACCGGCGAGGCUCGGCCGACGAGGGCCAGUCUCGCCGAGGGCCGGCGACGCUCUGGUGAGGUCGCCGGCCCUCGUCCGGCAGGUUGCCAGUCCAGCGACCGGCCACAAGAAGAAGAAGAAGAAAAAUAGGAGAAAAAGGAAAAAAAAGAAAAGAAAAGUAAAAAAGUAGAAAAAAUUAUUUAAAAAUUAAAAAAAAAUUUGAACAGAAUCAAUAAACACGUUAUCAAACGCAAUUCUAUUCCAAAAUCAGAAAUUUUAGACAGUUACCAAACACGUUCUUUUACUUAAAAUCAGUUUCCGGGAACAGAAUAAAAAAUAAAUCAUUUCUUGUCAGAAUCAGUUCCCGGAACAGAAUCGUUACCAAACGCGCCCUAAAUUUGCAAUCAACGAAACUGUUGGUGGAGCCAAGAGAAAAAAAAAGGCUUUAACUUUGCAGUCGUCACUUGCGCUGCUAAAGUUGAGCCUCUCUUUGUAAUUGCCAGUGACGAGCUGGAACGUCGUGAAAUGCCCGUCGUUGGUGGAAGAAGCGGCUUGAGAAAAUAUAAUUAAAACCCAUGGAGAGAGGAGAACAUAGAUCUUCCGUUUUUCCCAUCCUUCUCGCCGGCAGCCUCGCAAACCGACCUGGAGGUCCUAAACAUCCUAAACCAAAGAGAUGAGUAAUUGUACUCAUAUCCCCGGCUAAUUUUCAAUCAAAAUGACCACCACUUUUUUGCUAAAGAAAAUACUUUUAGGGUGUUUAUUAAUCAAUUAAUAAAAUUAUAUAACUUGCUUUGUACCGAUUUUUUCACAUAACAUAUAUGACAAAUUUUUUUAAAGUGGAUACAUCAUUAUUAAGGAAAGUGAUCAUAUAUAUAGACCUAAUAAUUGCUCUCGCUUUCAAAAUAACUAGAAUGUGACCCAUGCAGGCGCAUGGGACAAAUUGAAGUUCACACGUCGACAUGUACAUCUUGUGUCUUAAAAUUUAUUACUUUAUUGUAGAGAAAACUUGCAAAAUGGAUAAAUAUGCUAUCAAUUUUAUAAUGACUGGCUAAUAGUAGACUAGACAAAAGAAUCGGUCAAUGCAAAAGAAUACAGAUAAGUCAAACUAAGAAUAAACAUGUCGGUAUAUUUAUCUUGAUUUUUGUUGCAAAAACAAAUGGUCGAACAAUAAAAACCAGAAAACAAAAAAGUAAAUGGGAUAUAUAAUAUAUUUGAUUCACUCGGUAUGACCUAAUUCACUGGGAGAGCAGUAUCAUAUUGCUGCACAUGUCAUAUAAGAUUGCCAAUAAUAACUGGACCAUCACAGUAGCAAUUUUAGAUGAAAAUUGGCUGGGAUGAUUAGAUUGAAAACUCACAUAAAGAUUUAGAACAGUAUUAGCAAAAUUGAUAAAUUUAGGACUACAUUAAAAUUCACACAAUAAUUUUUUUUUUUUUUUUUGGAUGAGCGUUUGCAAAUUCAAGAUCAUAGGGUCUUCACGCGUCUCAUAUGUCACUUCGUUGUUUUAAAUGUCUGCAGUUCACUAUAGGUCCUAGGACAAUAAUGUCUACCGCUUCUUUUGCUUUUUCUUCCAAAGUAACAUUAAUGUGGCGAGUCAUUUGCAGUGAGAAACGUGAUGCGUUUCACAUUAGGACGAUCUUGGUCUCUUCACAACUUGCACGUCCUUUGUUUUUCUCAAACAAGAAGUAGCAAAAGUCUCCGAAAUCGGAUAGAGAAUAUAUUUGAUUCAGUCAGUAUGACCUAAUCCAUGGAUAGAGCAGUAUAAGAUUUCAUUAUUAAUCAAGCAAUACAUUAGAGGUUAUGAUAAUGGUUGGUAAUUCACAUGGUAUUUAAUGUGUGCAAUUCCUUGCAAAACAACCAUUAAAUCUCACAAAGAAAUUACAUAAAUCUUACAAAGAUUUCAUAGUUGAUUGCUCAACUAGUGUUCAAAAACACUUUGAUGAAAAAUCUUUUUUAAGUAAUGGCUAAAAAUAAAUAUAUGUUACUUCGAUAGAAAAAUAUUUAUUAUUUCUCUUCAUUAUUGUCGUUGCUACCUAGAUUUACUCUUAAAGAUACAUCAUGCAUAAGAUGAGGGUGAAAAAAUUGAGUAGCCAUACAUCGAACUAAAUUGAGUUUGUGAUUAGAUAGUAUCUAUGAAUCAUACUCAAAAUUUGUCUAGGUCAUAUAAGUGCACAUACCAUAUAAGAUGGCCAAUAAUAAUUGGAUCAUUACAUUAGCAAUUUUAGGCGAAAAUUAGCUGGGAAGAUUAGAUUGAAAACUCACAAAGAUUUAGAAUAAUAUUAACAAAAUUAAUAAAUUUAGGACUACAUUAAAAUUCACACAAUAAACGUUUUUAAGAUGGAAUUGAUAAUUUUCUUGUUUGAAACCAAAGUGGGACGUGGUACUAUAGUUAUGACAGCGACACCGUCGUUAUCCCGAAUUUUUUUUUAUGAGCGUUUGCAAAUUCAAGAUCUUAUUCAUCUUUACGUGUCUCAUAUGUCAAUUCGUUGUUUUAAUGUCUGCAGUCCACCACAGGUCCUAGGACAAUAAUGUCUACUGCUUCUUUUGCUUUUUCUUCCAAGUAAAAUUAUUGUCGCGAGUCCUUUGAGUGAAAACGUGACGUGUUUCACGUUAGGACGACCUUGGUCCCUUUAACAACUUGCAUGUCCAUCCUUUGGUUUUUUUUCAGACGAGAAAGAGCAAAAGUCUUCCGAAAUGAGGUCUCCUUUUCUUUCGCUUUUUCCAAAAGUGGACACCAUUAUCAACAAUGGAUGUCCUUCCUUUGUUUUAUUCGGACGAGGAGUAGCAGAGUAGCAAAAGUCUCCGAAAUAACAUCCACCCUCAACGAGAAUGACAUCUCCUUUUCCUUUUGAUUUUCCGAAAAGUGACACCACCAUACGUUUUUUUUUUGUCAGAAUUAAUGAUAUUUCAUUACUAACUCGGUAUUUAAAAAAAAAAAAGGCACGAAAUAGUUGGAGAACACCACGAUUUUUUUCAGUCAAAACAACUAUGACUACUUUUUAAAGGAAUUACCUUUAAAGUGCUUACAAAUCAACUAAUAAAAGUUUUAUUGAACUGAUUUUUCCCCAUAACAUGUAGGAUUAUCUUUUUUUUGGGGGGAAAAAAAUCACCAAAAACCCGAAACUUUGUCCAAAGUAUCAAAUUUACCUUAAUUUUUUUUUUAUGAUAUGAAAAACCCCAAAUUUUGUAAACCGGACAUAUUUACCCCCACCAAGAGUAUUUUCGUCUUAUUUUUUAUGUUUUUCCUUUUUUUUUUCUUCUUCCCUCUUCCCUUCGCCGGCCAUGGCAGAGCCGAUGGAGAGAAGCCGGAGUCAAGCGAGGGCCGCCCUCGCCUGACUUCAAUGAGGGGUGCCCUCGCCAAUCCUCGCCAGCGUUGGGCGAGAGGUGCGGCCGUCCAUACCUGACGCAGGCGAGGGUUGAUGCAGGUGGGGGCCGCCCGACGCCAACGAGGGCCUAGUGAGGGCCACCCUUGCUCAACCCAACCAAGGGUCGCCCUUGCCCGACACCAGCGAGGGCGGCCCUAGCCUGACUCUGGCUUCCCUCCACUAUGGCCAGCGAAGGGAAGAGAGAAGAAAAAGAAAAAAAAUAAAAAAUAAAAUUAAAAGUAAAAUACCAAAAUGCUCUACAGUUUAGGGUAAAUGUGUUACAUUAAUAGAAAUUCAGGAUUUUUUAUGUCACGAAAAAAAGUUUUGGGUAAAUAUAUCACGAUUAGCAAAGUUCGGGAUUUUUCAUGUCACAAAAAAAAUUUGGGGUAAAUUUGUCAUUUUUAGCAAAAUUUGGGAUUUUUUGUGUUCUUUUCCUCUCUUUUUUCAAAUGGAUAUUACAUAAUUAAGUAAAGUGAAGAUAUAUAAUAAUUGCCCUCGGUUUCGAAACAACUAGAAUUUGAGCUGUACGAUUGCGCAAGAUCGAUUGAAAUUUGCACCUCAACACAUGCAUUUUGUUUCUUAGAAUUUGUUCCCUUACUGUAGAACAGAUCAUUUACAAAAUAUUUAAAUAUGUUAAUACUAGGUAGACCAAAAAAAAAAAAAAGCCAAUACAAGAAAAUACAUAUAAGUCAAACUAAAAAUAGACAUGUAAUUACAUUUAUCUUGAGUUUUGUUGCAAAAGAAAGAAGGAAUAGUAACAAUAAGCCAGAAAAUAGAAAAGUCAAUUAGAUGCCGAAUAUACGUGGCUUGGUCGAUAUGAUCUAGUACAAGGGGAGAAUAGCCUACUAUUAGUCAAGUAAUACAACAAAUGUUAUAACCACACUCAAGUCACUAAAGUACUCCCAAGUUUUCCCAAUCCUCAAUCCAUAACCCACAUAGUAUUCAGUCUAAACAAUUUCUAGUGAAACAAUAAAUAAAUCUCACAAAUGAAUCACGGAAAUAUUAUGAAGAUUUUCACAGCUAUCAAAAACUCGUAAUUAAUUAUCUCCGGACCUAAUUGACAAACAUAUGCACAGCCUUGCAUACUUUAGUUGAAGUGCCCACUCUACUUGGACAAAAAAGCAUACUAGAAACAGCCUACCAUGGAAGUGGAACAUAUGAUAAUUGCAAACUAAGUUGAGGCAUUCGCUACUCAUUAGCAAACAAUGACGCGACCUACUUUAUAGAAGCCAAAGGAUGCAAUUUAGAAAUUCUAGUUUCAUUUUGGCGCGACGUUUUUCAUGUUCUUAACUUCGUGGCGUUUUUUUUUGUUCUUAACUUUGGGACUAUGAUUUUACAUUUCUAAUGAAAAUACCAUCUUCUAUCAUUCCUUGCUCAGACCAUCAGCAUGGAAUAGGUAUUGAACUGCUCAAUGAUCUCAAGGUUAUGAGACAUGCAGGUCAGGCCUGCCGCCUUAAAACAUAAUACCAAUCCAUUCACAUCCAGAUCAGAUUUGUUAUCAAUUGGCUUUAGAACUAACUUUCUAAUGCACUAGAGUAGCAUGAGCUAUAGGACUUACUUAUCAUAAUUAUGCUUCGUCAAAUAUUACAAGGCGAUACAAAUUUGUUCAAUCUGAAUGAAAACAUAAAAUUACUUGGAGCGUUCAAUGUGGGUCAAGCUCCCUAGAAAAGAUUUUAGGUGGUAUUUUUGGGGGUGGAUUUCAACUUACAUCUUCAAUUCUUUUUUAUUUUAUGUGAGAUUUGAAAUGUCACCAAUUGCCGAGAGUUGCACCUUUUCAAGCUUACACAUCAUGACAAUCAUUUGCCACUUUCUUGGAUUGGCUGUCCAGUCCAUUCCCGAAUCAUAGAUCUAUCCAAAAUAAUAUUGCUAAGACUCAAAAUGCCACGAUAUAUUUAUUCUUCAUGUCCAUUAGAUGACUUAACUUAUGGUUCAACUGAGAGCCGACUCAAGUAACGUCACUUGUGAGAUCCACAAAGGCUUGGGUUAAAUUAUUUAUAACUAUCAUUGGAAGAAAAACGGAAAAAGAGAUUCGGUCUUGAGGUGACCAUAUGUAUCAAGAUCCACGAGUUCUUUAAGUCUUGAUUGCCGCUGCUUCCUUCAAUACUUGCCCAGCAAAAUGCUGAAAGAGAGAGUAAAGAAUGACGAUGAUGAUGACAACAAUAACAGAAGUACAAUUUGGUGUUUUACAUCCUUUUAUUCUUGAGGCAUAGGCACAAUUGCAUGAGUAAGAAUUGCAUAAUUAAACUACUAAACCAAAGUAAUCACAUUUCAAGAACUUCUAGAUCCCACACAAAUCUUAUUGAAAUAUAAAUUUUCACAUAGCUUCUACGCUAUAAUUAGGCUGCGCAUGACAACGCUUCUGUUCCCAGGAAUAGUUUUUUUUUUUAGAAAUAGUUCUUUUCUAUUUCUACUCCGGGGAACAAUUUCUGAGUAAAAGAACCUGUUUGGUAACGACACAAAAUUUCUACUUUUGGAAUAGAAAAAUAAUAAAAAUGUGUUUGGUAACGCAACAAUUUUUUUUUUUUUGUAUUUAUUCAUUUUUUAUUCUUGCUGACGGAUCGCCGCCGUCGCCCACCGCCCGCCGAUGGGCUUCCGGCAGCGAUCAGCGGUGACGAUCGGCGGUUGUGCAAUGGCGGCGGCUGGCGGGCGGGCGGCGGUGGCCAGCAAGUAGCGGUGGCAACUGGCGACUGGCGGUCGUGCAGUCGCGGCGGUUGGCGGGCGGGCGGCGGGCGACCAGCGGUGGCGGCGGCGGCGGCGGUGACCGGCGGCGGCGAUGACCGGCGACGGCGACGGUAGGCGGUGGCUCUAGGCAGUUGACGGUGGUCGCGGCAAGAAAAGGAAAUAAAAGAAAGAAAAAAAACAGCUUAUUUCUAUAAAUUGUUCUCGGGAACAAGAAGUAACUUUUUUUUGCUUCUCAAAACUGUUCCCGGGAACAAAAAAUUAGAGAAAUUGUUCCCGGGAACAAAUGUUUACCAAAUAAGUUUCUGUUCUUUUUUUGUUCCGGGGAACAAAAGAACAGAAAUUGAGAGAAACAGGAGCGUUACCAUGCGCUACCUUAGUUCUACCUACCAUGUUAUCCAAAGACUAAAUUGACAGAUAUUUUCUCCAAUUGCACCAAAACCAAGUCUUUUUUAGAUGAUGCACUUUGUAGAUCCGCAGGGAAUUCACUCAAUCUGGUAUCCUAUCUUAUGGAAGAGAAUUUUGACUUUGCAAUCCUUUGGCACAUGUCAAUUUCAUCAAAUUUGAGUCGGUAAAUAUGCUACCAUCUCAUUUGAUUAUUCAAAAUAUUUAGAAAAAGAUUCAUUUGCAUCUCAAUGACUAGAUAAAGUUCGAUGCAUAAAGAAAAUGUCAACAUUCGAUUUUAUAUAGUUUUACUUUUUAUCUAUCGUCUUUAUUUUUAAGCACGGAGUCAAUUGUUAAGGGAAGCAUAGUUUGUACUUGCUAAUCUGCAUGUUCUCACCCCUAAUUUUUUAUUUAUUUAUCUAUAAUAAGCUCUACAGUCCACUAAAUGUCCUUAUUGGACAAUAAUGUCUCCUCUUUUUGUUUUUCCCCCAAAGUUACACUAAUGUCGCGAAUCAAUUACGGCUAAAAACGUGCCUCGUUUCACAUGGACAUGAGACGUUGGAUUGGAUGAACUUUUGUGGAAUUAGGACCCUCUUUGUCUUUUCGUAUCUUACAUGUAGAUCCGUUCUUUUACUCGGACAAGAAGUAACAAAAGUCUAUUUAAUAGAGUCCACCGUCCCCUGCAAGUCCUUACAGGACAAUAAAUGUCUCCUUUUUCCUUUUCUUUUUUCAAAAGUGACACUACAACCACUACUCGUCUUUUGAAGGAAUCACAUUUAGAGUGCUUAUUAAUCAAUUUGUAAGUUUUGACUGUCGCUGUUUCCUUCAAUUCUUGCUCAGCAAAAUGCUGAAAGAGAGUAAGAAUGAUGAUGAUGACGACGACAAAACGAUCAUGCAAGUGCAAUUUGGUAUUUAACAUCCUUUUAGUCCCAAGCCCGCAAGUGUUAAACUAGUACAAAUACACGAAAAGUACACUUAACAUAUAGCCAUAACUGCACAAAUGAGUAUUACAUAAAUUAAAUUUACUAGAUCAAGGUAAUCACAUUUCAAGAAUCUCGAAAUCCUAUGCUGAAUCUUACUAAUAAUUUUCACAUAGCUUCUUCACUUUAAUUAAUUCUGUCUAUCACAUUACCAAAAGACUAAAUCUAUGUAUAUUUUCUAUACCAACUUACAAAAGAGAGUUCCAAGUUUGUUGUAUUCUAAUACUUGUCAUUCUCAUCGAAUUUGGAUUUGUGAAAAUGGUACCAUCUCAUUUGGUUAUUUGUAAUAUUUUGGGAAAGGUCCAUUUGCGUCCUGGUAGCAUUGACACCUAAAUUAUCGUUGAAAAGUCAAACAUACCGUUUUUUGUAAAAAUAAAAUAAAAUAAUGAUGGUAAAAAAAUUAUGAUAAAAAGAUUUAAAAAAAGCAAAUAAAUAAAUGAAGCACCAGGACCAUCAAAAGCUCAUCACUUCAGCCCGGUCCGACCAUAAGAGUAGCCCAGACCACUAAGGAAGCCCAUCAAGCAUCUGGCCCAAUUCCCUUAAGCCCAUUAGAUCUACAAAAGCAGCCUAGGCCACACCAGGCCCAUUAAAUUCUAAUAAAACCCAUUAAGCCCAAUUCGUGGAAACCUAUAAAGAUUUGAAUUGAGCCCGGUCCACCUCAUCAGAACCGCCCCCCUAUUCCCACAUCUCUCUCUCUAUCGCUCUGAAUGUUGGAAACGAACUCACGCACGUGCACUGGGCUCCCCGAAGGGAAAUUUGCUGCAUUACAAUGUUUAAUCGCCUCUUUUGUUCGUGCCCGAGACCUUACCAUUAUGAAAUUAGCUCAUUAACAGCUCAUUUGCGUCGCUUUCCUCGUUGACUAAGAGAUUUACGUUGAUCGUUUUUUGCUAUAUUGGCAUUCCCUAAGUUCUUUUGUCUUUCAUUAAGAAUGAAUCUAGGCGCUAUGCACUUCAAUACAUUUCUGCCUUGGUUUAGAUCUAUGUUCAGUGUUCUCGCAACACAAAUCCAAUUUUGAGUAUUGCUGGAUUGGGGUAAGAAUCUCUUGUAUGGAAUUGGAUUGAAUCUGAUAUGUUUUCUUUGAGUCCACAUGUUGAAUUUGCAGGAAGAUCUACUGUUCAUGUUGUGGGAUAAAAUUAUAGUUCAUUUGCUGAUACAAUGAGCUGAUGAAAGAAGGAUAGCUCAUUAAAGAAGGAUGGACUUCUGAAAUGAGAAUUGAUUGGUGUUCUUCUUGAUUCAUUUAUACACCACGGUUCGGGUCCUUCGAUUCUCUUCAAUAUUGAUUUCUUGUUAUGGUUUUGUCAUUCAAGAGCCUCAGCCACAAACCCUUCUAUUUGACUCGGACUUGAUCUUUUCUAACUUACGUUGCAUUAUGCCUAUGUUUAACGUAAAAAUAACAUUGUAAUAAAUUGAAUGUGGUGAUUAAAUUUUUGAGUAAGAUGUUGAUAGUUACAAAACUAAAAAGUUAAUAUAUCCAGAGCUCAUUGUACAGUUUAUUUCUCACUUUACAAUCUCUUUGUAUUAUAAGUUUAUCGUGGGCCUUAUCUUUUAAAUUUAGAUUUUACUCAUGUCUUCUUCUUUUUUAGCACACGCAAGCCCUUUUUACAGUAAAGUCAAAAGAUAAUUCCAUCCAAUCGAAUGAGUAUUGGCAUUUAAUAACUAGCUAAUUAAGGGUGCGAUAAGUUAAAAAUCAAAACAAGUAACAUUCAAUCGACAUGACUCAGGUCCAACUCAUAUCUACCCAUUUGACAGCCCUAAACUUUAUACCAUGUGGAAUGUCAUCUUUGGACAUUCAAUUUGUUCAAUAUAAUCAGUAAAAGCUAAAUCUAGUCCCUAAAUUAUAUGAAAAAUGUUCAAUGUUAUUUUUUCAUUAAUUCAUAUUAACGAAAUAUAUUGAUAUGGCUUUCAAUCCAUUAUGUUUGAAUGGUGGGCAACAAAAAUUGACCCAUGGAUUACCUAAGUAAGAUAUGCAUCUCAAAUCACCAUUGAAAUGUUAACGUCCUUUUUUUAUCCUUCCUUUUCACAGUUAGAUGUAUAAAAGAUUGAUACAUUGACUCAACGUUUUUAAAAAUUUAACUCGGGAUAUAAUAAUUUAGGUUGUUUAAUUUGUAGUUUGAGCAAAUGGAAAAAUUGCAUCCAACUAUUCACCAAUGGUUUAGGAUCAAUUUGAACAAAUUAAAGGUAAAGGGACUACAUUGUAUUGAGUCGAAAUUCAGAAAUCAUUUAUGUCAUCAUCUCGAUGGUAAGUGACAUUCUAACUAUCUUUAAUUUAUAUUAUUAGAGAGAAAAUUUGACACCAAAUUAUUACCCAUCUCUACUACAUACUUCUUCCUUGUUAGCAUCAAUAAUAAUCCUUUUUCUCAUGAGAGUUAGGGGUGUGCAAAAGAACCGAGACCCGCCCGAAUCGCCCGGAACUGAUGGUUCUUGAGGGAACCGGAUCCGGUUCCUGAUUCCAAUUUAUGGGAACCGGUGGAUACCAGUCCGGUUCCCGGUUCCAUGGUCAGAUCCGUCCACCCGCCCACCCGGACCGGACCGAUUAUAUUAAAAUAAUAUAAUAAUUUUUAAUGUAAAAAAAUUGAAAUUACUAAUUAACAAACCCAAAUGAAAUAACUAAAAAAAUUAAUUAAAGUGGGUAAUCUCCGGUCAAACCAAAUGGAGAGGUCCUAAUAUAAAAGCUAGUGUAGUUUCUAAUAUAUGACAUCCCAAAACUUAUUUUUUCUGACAACAUUGAGAUGAUUAUGAAAAUUUGGUUAUAUGUGUUAUUUAUCUACAAUUGCAUGUAGUUAUUACCUUUGCGACUUGAUAGUAAUUGAAGUGCUCCAGUCUUGAUCUUCAAUAUUUUGGAGUAUUAUUUGAAAAAGGUCUAACACUGUUCAAGACUGAAUUAUACUUGGCAGAUGAGUUACUGUGAUUAGUGACUGUUCCUUAAUGUAGGAUGCUCCUUCCAUGACUGAAGAAGUUUCCUAAUGCGAUUCUAGAAUAAGAGAAAAAUGGUCCGUUUUUGCUCUUUCCUUUAUGCAAGUUUUCUCACAUUAAAAAGUAGCUGUAGAGGUUUUUUUUUUUUAGACAAAAGCUGUAGAGGUUGGUUAAUUGAUUAGAUUGUUGUUCUAAAUUUCUUAUAUGACCUCUCUUUCAAAAGCAAUCAUGUUUUCUGCAUCCAAGACUGGUGAAGAGCAUAUAGAAUUGAAGUUAUUCCCUGAACCUUUAUGGAAGAAAAGAAAUGAUAAUUUUUAGUUCAGUCAAUUAAUCUCUCAAAUUUCUCUUCUCAAUCUUCUAAAUCUUGUACUUUAACUUUGCUCUUGUUUUUGGUCUAACAUCUAGACACCCAUUACAGCAUUAAUUGGAACAUGUUGAUAAUCCACUGAGUUCACUGCCUAACCGUUAAUGGAUAAAAUUUUAUUUUAAUCUUUUGUAGAAUUUAUUAUCUUCAAGUGGUCAUGGUUGACUCAUCUUUUGAUUUUUGCACUUUUGUUAUAUAACAAUCUGGAAAUGGCAAUGACAUUGACUCAAAAUUAUGUUUUGAUUUCUAGUUUGUAGCUUUUGGUUUUUAGUAUAUUACUUGAUAUGAAGAGUUCUCAUAGUGGGAUUUAGAAAAUGUUAUUAUUAUUGUGAGACCGGUUCCAUGGAUCCACCUGGGAACCAGACCAAACCGGCGGUCCGGUUCCCGGGUGGAUCCAUGCAAUUAACGGGUGGAUCCCGGUUCCAAUUUUUCGGAACCGAUCUUUAGCGGGUGGUUCUCGGUUCUAGGUCGGGAACCGACUGCCCGGACCAUGCACACCCCUAAUGAGAGUUAUUAGUGCCUUAGAAUAUUUUGUUCGAUGUUGAAUGAUUAGAGUAUGUUUAUAUGUUCAAUAACUAGUAACUGUAUUGCUUCAGAUUAAAAAAAAAAAAUAGAUGGGUUUUUUUUUUUUGAAAUGUUAUUAAGAAAUAAAUGUGUUCAAUUUUAUUAAUUCUAACUAGUUGUCUUGAACGACAUAGCAUGCAAGCAAGAGGUGUCAACCAACAAGAAGAAAGCAUGUAUUAGUUAGACAUGACAAAAGUUAUCCAACAGAAAUAAUGUCCAAUAACAUUUAUUAUUUGGUGCUUCCGAUCAAUCAAGAAAUAUUUAAAUAACAUUUAAGACAUUGUUAACACCAAAAAAAUGAGGAAGUUUUGUUUUUUAAUUAAUAUGAUUUCGAUACAUAGCACAGUAUUGAACAAUUAUAGCAAUCGAUAAGAUAUCAACGGUAUAGAAGCUCGUCAUGAGCAUGAAUAUUAACAAUUGACAUGACAUCAAUAUGAAGCGAUUGUACUAUCGAUAAGAGAUUGAUGGCAAAAGAACUUCUCCAUAAUUAUGAGUAUUGAUGACGAAGUUUUUUUUAUCGCUAUAUGAUGACUAUUGGCCGACGAUUGGCACUUAAAAUAAAUUUAGUGUUUGUUGAAAGUAAAAGUAAAGAUGAGAAAGACGCCGAUUGAGAAGCUAUAAACGGUUGGACAUGCAAUUGUAGAAAAUAAUUGUGAAGCCUUAGUAGCCACUUUUGUAGCUGAGCCCACUGACAGUCGAAAGUUGCAACCAUUUAUAGAAAAGAUGAAUGCGCAGUUAUGAAAUUUGAUCAUGGAGCCGAAAAUCGUGGAUAUGCGGUUGUAACUUUUAAUUUGAAUAUUAACCACUUCUAAGCAGUUAUUUUGUGUAAUAGGCUAUAUAAGCCGUGUUGAAUCAUUGUAAAGAGUUAACGAUCAUCAACGCAAUCAAUGCUUCUUUUUAAAUUUACCAAUUUUAUGUUCCACUUCUUGCAUUUACUUUUGUUUAGAGUAAUUGCUUAUGAUUCUGGUUCUUCACUUCAUGUCCGAAUAGCCAAGUAAUCCAAUUCAAAUAAUAACAGAAAAAUUGACCUUGAUUUAAAGAGUGUCUCGUCACAUGUGGAGUAAUCUCUGGUGAAAUAGAUGCGAAAUGCUCAUUUAGCUAAUUUAAGAGCAAAAUAUACGGCCAACUAGUGAGACGGUGUUCAGGCUCUUUGAGCAUAAUACUGUGACUAGUUAGGUUUAAUCGGGUGAUUAUAAAAUACUUCGAGGGGACAAUAUAUACUUAUAUUCUAGAGACUUUCUGCAUUUAAUAACUAAGUUAUAGAUAGGGAUAUUAGAACUCCACCAUCAGAUUAAUGAUAAAUCUACCGUCGUAAUUGGAGAGAUCCAUUUAUGAAUAAGAUGUUUCAGUAUCAUCUACAAAUCCUUUGCGAUCAAGCGUGGCUUGCACAGAUCCGGAUCUCAGUCAGCACCAAGGUACGGUACUAAGAAAAGUUUAUGACAUUUUUUUUCAUUUUUUCUGAAACAUUAAUGUUUGGCACGCAUUCAUGUAAUCCAUAUUUUCAGAAGGCAAAAAAAAAAAAAAAUGAGAGUGAUUUUCGAUCGAGUGUUGUGAUAUUUGCUACGUAAAUGAUGGAGAUUUGGUUGUUCUGUAUCGGAAUUUGGAGGGUUCAGUGUCUUUCCUGUCAUGAAUUGUAUUCUCCUGAUUAAGUGGCUUGUUUCGUUGUUUGUACCUUGAUCGAAGCAGCUUUUAUGGUAGUUACACGCGGAGAGAUGUGACAGGUUUAUCGUUAUUCGAUGCUUUAUUGAUGAUUCUGGGCCUAUCAUUGUUCUUUCGCAGAAAUUGGUGUCGGUUUCCAUCCGAAUCUCGGACGAAUUAUCUUCUCCGAGGUAAUAUAGGGCAGUCAUGUCUGAUCUUUUGCUCCGUUGCUUUUGAGCUCUGAUGCCCAUCGACGCUGCGACCCUCUGAAUCAUCGGGAGUCCCGAAGUUCCUGUGGGUUGUAGAAGAUAUGGGUUUCGCAGUUACCCCAACAGAGUUCCAUAGCCGAUGCAUGCCUUCCGCAUCUUCUGCAUCGGCAUUCUAAACUAGCCAGCCGAAGUUCUGGGCGUCCUUGUAUCGACUGCUUUUCAAGAGAGACAGGAUAUGCUUUUUGGACAAGUACCUCAAUCAAGUGCGAUUAUAAUUACCGCCCGCCAAAUGGUUUAUCUCGGUGUUUGAAGAAAUGUGGACUCUUUUCAGUGUUGGAAGAUUUGGCUAUCGAUGGUUGUCAUCCUGAUAUGAAUAUCCACAAUUUGCUUGUAAAUUUUACUUGCAAGCAGGGGAAUUGUGAAGAUACUGCUCUACUUAUGCACAAUCUAUUAUCUCAUGACAUGGAACCAAGCACUAUAACUUAUAACCCUCUCCUCAUUUGCACCCGUGGCGUGUGGAAUGAAGUAGAUGAUGAAGUUCUUACAAUGAUGAGUCAAAUUUUACGUCCUCCAAUGGUUUUACUUACAAUAUUUUGAUCAAUGGUCUGUGUAAAUUUGAAUAUCUAGGCCGUGUAAUUGACUUGCUUCGAACAGAUGGUUCAGAAAGAGUGUUGCCCCUGAUAUAAUAACAUAUGACACCCCUCUACGUGUGCUUUGUAACGGCCAUGACGACGUGGAUCUCACGAUUAGGUUGGCUAGCAACGUGGGCUGUCAAUUAGUCCAAACUGACUGCAAGGAUAAGAUCGCUUCCAAUCAAAGAUCAUUUUCAUUGCUAUGUUUGCCUUUUUCAGUGCUUCAACUCAGAUGCACGAGCCACUCAAUUCGCUAAACCUCUCCUAUGCCUUCCUGUGCUCUUCUUUACCAAAUAUCUCCAUGAAUGCAUUGGCCAACAUCAAAGCAAAACUCAAUUGAAGUUACAACGAUUUCAUUUGAGCAAUUCAUGACCAGCCAUCACCUUCUUCACCUUCAUCCAUACACAGAGUUACUCAGCACAAUGGAUGCACGCAUAGAGGUGGACUUUCCUGAAGAUUUGCUCUCAUUCAUUUGAGAAGCUCACUUACCCUUGCUUUAGAGGGAACUUACAUCGAUGCUCACACAUCGCACACACACUCUUCUUUCUCGUCUUCACCAGUGUCCAUCUCUGACCAACACCCUUAGGAAGAGGGGUCCUUGCAGAAAAUCUCUGUAACAAUUGAUAAAUGCCACUAUUUGUAUUAGAAAUAGCACAUCAGUAAGGAGCAAAUGACCAUUCCAAAGAAUAACAAGAAGAAAAUUCAAGAGGAAGAAAGAUUGACCUUCUCACAAUCAGGCUCAUCAUCUGAACCGUUACCAUGUUGGUUAUACUUGCUCCAAAGACUCUGCCUGAGUGACCGCGUAACUUUUUUGACAUCAUCACUAUCAACUUCAGCUUUUAGUUUCAGUGACUACUACUCAGAAGAACUAGCUGAUGCUGAGCAACCAAUAAAGCUGCCGACGUCUUACAAUUCUCGUUCUUAUUAUCUUGUUCCCUCUCUAAUUUAAAUGAGGAAAUGCCUCAAAACUGGAGGAACCAAUGGAAACUCAUCAUUCUCUUCUUUAAUGCCCUUUUUUAUGAGUGUCUCGAUCAUUCUCUGAACACAGGAAAUUGACAGAGCCGUCAAAACUUAUUGUACGGACAGAGUGGAUAGCACGUGCAUCAUUAAGAAUUAGCUCAUGCAAGUAAUGAGGAUUUGAUCUACAGUCUAUUUUCCUGUCAAAUUCUGCUAAGAAGAAAAGCAAGACAUUGAUGCCCGGAUAAUACAGCUAAACUAACAGAUAGGGCGACCUAGCUAAUCCACGAAAAGAACAAUGACAAGGGUAUUCAAGAUUGUGAAAGGCAAUAGACUAGAAACUAUGCAGUAAGAUGAACUAUGAAGAGAAAAUAUGGCAUACAGAUAACAAGGUUCUCUAUCUUUAAAGAUGCCCUGGAUCAUCGACACACGGAAAACCAAUGUGCAGGAAAUCAACAGUAACUAUGACAAACAACGGGGAUGGUCUCUGCAGAAAUAGGAAACUGCUGUCAUCUUGGAAAGAUAAGCAGCAUCACAACCAUGCAGAUUCAUCAAACAAGCCGAUAUUGAUUCUUUUGAAAUCUGGUAGCUUCAAAGGUGUCAUUCGCAGAGAGGAAAAAAGAAUAGAGUAAUCACAGAGAAUGGCGGAGGUAUUAGCCCCACUGAACUUCAGAGGACAUGAGUCAAUGGACAAGUUUUCCCUUCAAAGGACCCUGUCCACAAAGUUAUACCGACUGCUAUCUCACAUCAAACCUUAUUCACAACAGUCUAAAUCAAGUUACAGUACAUACCGUUUUCUUUUUAGGAGAAGAAAUUAACACGCAUGUGCUAACACUGUAAUUCCAAUGGCUGCCAUUGUGGCAUGCAAUCUUUAUCCAGUGCAAGAAGUCUACCCUAAUGCCAAGCACACUCCAGACUCUGGAACUGAUUCUACUCAUAGAUAUGACAAGCUUCACAAGAUUCAGUAGUCGUGUCUCAUUCAAUCGAGCUUUAAACAGCACUGAACCUCAGCUAGGUGUUACCUGCCAACUCUAAUCAUAUCCACGUCACCCUAUAACUGCAUCAUAUCAAUUGCAAUCUUUAGGUACUCUACUGCUAUGUGUUGAGAACCUGGCAAAGCUUAGCAAUCACUUUGAAGGCUGUUAUCUCGCUUAUGACAAGGAAUUGAAGGCACUGAUGCUCUCUUGAAUAUCCAAAUUAGUCAGAAAAACACCUUGAAGACAUGCCAAUUUUCCUCUAAAACACCAAGAGAGAUAAUGAAGCGAUGGGGAAUGAUUCAUAUCUUCCUAGAGCCAGCUGUGACGUGGAUCAAGUUCUAGCAGAGGAUGCGGAUGCGUCGAAACACCAACAUUUUCCCAACGUUACAUGAAAUCAUCUCAACGGUUGAGAAAUAUCUUACAAAAUCAAUCAAUUAAGAAAUUUUUAAAUAAACCAAAAACCAAUUAAGUGAUUUUUAUUGUCUCCGAACAAAAAUGAAAAUACACGAACCCAAACGGUACCUAUUUUUUGAGAUGGGAAUUACACCACAAAUAUAAUGUGAGCAUGGAUUAAAUCCUUGUUGAUCGGAUUACAACGUUCAAGAUUAUUAUAUCUUCCGAUAAUUAUGUUUGACUAUUUCGUUCGCAACUAUUUGGGUAGCAACAAUAUAAAUACAUUUGAUGACUAUUUCGUCCGCUUGGGAAUGAAACAAUAAUCGCAUCCGAUAAGACUAAGUACGACUCUGAAAAGGGAAAACUAGGAAUACCCUAGUAGCAAUGAAUGAAUGCAAGAUUUUCCUAGUGCUCAUAUGUGCUUGUUAAAGUGCAAUACCGUAUGAUUUACUAGUAAUUACAGGCGGUCUUUGUAAUUCUGAAAAAUGUUCUUACAUGUUGUCGAAGACACAAGAUUCAUUCAAGUAGAACAAAGCAAACUUACGAUUUUAAAUGCUUUAAAGCCCAAUCUGAUGCCAAUCACAUCUUCAUGGGUGUGCUCAACAACCUCACCUGCUUGCAUACUUUAUUCAGAAUAAUUUAGGUUCAACAACCCAUUUCACGUAAUCGACUCCAAUUCAGAAAUACCCAAUGUAACUUGAGGGAUUUCACGGACGCAAGGCCAAUAGCGGCCGUUUGGUUUCGAGCAUCGCUCCUUGAGAAUCCCACUUUCCUUGAUCAAGAGUCUUUUUAGGGAGGGAGGGAGGCCAUCCUGGGGCAAUUCCCUAAACUUCGGGCAAUUGCUGAUUUCUAAGGUCCGGGGGAGGUAGACUACUACAGAGUCUUUCCACAUUCCCCAUAUCUUCGAUUUUGAGAUAAAGCAGAGAGGAAGGGAGCAGAAGCAAAAUAUCCUCCUCCUCUCCCACUCCUUCAAUGCUACCGUCGAUCACCAUAACUUGAAGAGAGGUAACGGGGUAACCCACUCCCUCACGGCACUGUCCUUAACCGGGGAAACUGGGUCAACCUAUGAUUGAGGUCAGUGUCGUAAAGCGUGUCAACUCAAUUAUGGGCAUUUAACCCACCUUCACUCACUUCAGGCCUGGGAGACUACUAUACUUGCCUAUCCAGUAGUAGCCAGAAUUGAAAUCAUGACGUGGUAUCUAUCUUUACCAUCGUGAAGCCCCUUAAUUCUCUGUCUAUAUUUAUCUUCCUGACAGAGAGGGAAGAGGAAAACAGCACGGGGUCUUUCACCCCAAGGUGAUUCUCCUGCCUGUUUCCUCCGUCACCGGUUCUUCAUAUUCCUACAACCGUCUCCUUUACCUUUUGCUUUUUCCGAAGCGACACUAAUGUCACUGAUGGCCGUGCGAUGGACAAGAAAAAGUUGAGGAUAACCACGGCUUUUUUUCAAUCAAGAUAGCAACAACUUGUCUUUUAAAAGGAUUACUUUUCAGGUGCUUAUUAAUCAAUUAAUAAACGUUUUAUUGUACUGAUUUUUCCCCAGACCAUGUAGGAACCAUUUUUUGGAAAAUGGAUAUCUUAUUAUUAAGUAAAUUGAACUUAUACAUUAGAAUGUGACAUGUGUAAUUGAGCAGGAUCAAUUGAAAUUUACAUCUCAGAACUUACAUUUUGUUUUUGGGAAUUUGUUUCAUUAUUGUAGAAGAGAUCAUUUGCAAAAUAUAUAAAUACGUUGCAAAUUUCAUGAUGACGAUAGACAAAAAAAAAAAAUCAUCUAAUAUAAGAAAAUACGUGCAAGUCAAACUUGUAAUAAAAAAAUCUACAUGGCAUGACAUAUAUUUAUAUUAUAUUUGCAUUUAAAAAUAAAAGCAAUCGAGCAAUAAUAAAUCAAAAUACAAAAAAGUAAAUUGAACAUCACAUUACGUGAUUCAGUUGGUAUAACCCUCUCCUCGGAAAAAGCAACAUAAAAUUCCACUAUUAAUCAAGCAAUACAAUAAAAGCUAUAGUCAUGCUCAAGUUAUUACACUCAAUAACUCACGGUGUUUAACAUGCAUAUUCCUUGCAAAAUAAUCGCUAAAUCUUAUCAGAUUUCACAACCAUCAAACACUCAAUGAUUAAUCUCUCCCAAUAUAUUCACAAACUUAUGCAUAGCCUNNNNNNNNNNNNNNNNNNNNNNNNNNNNNNNNNNNNNNNNNNNNNNNNNNNNNNNNNNNNNNNNNNNNNNNNNNNNNNNNNNNNNNNNNNNNNNNNNNNNNNNNNNNNNNNNNNNNNNNNNNNNNNNNNNNNNNNNNNNNNNNNNNNNNNNNNNNNNNNNNNNNNNNNNNNNNNNNNNNNNNNNNNNNNNNNNNNNNNNNNNNNNNNNNNNNNNNNNNNNNNNNNNNNNNNNNNNNNNNNNNNNNNNNNNNNNNNNNNNNNNNNNNNNNNNNNNNNNNNNNNNNNNNNNNNNNNNNNNNNNNNNNNNNNNNNNNNNNNNNNNNNNNNNNNNNNNNNNNNNNNNNNNNNNNNNNNNNNNNNNNNNNNNNNNNNNNNNNNNNNNNNNNNNNNNNNNNNNNNNNNNNNNNNNNNNNNNNNNNNNNNNNNNNNNNNNNNNNNNNNNNNNNNNNNNNNNNNNNNNNNNNNNNNNNNNNNNNNNNNNNNNNNNNNNNNNNNNNNNNNNNNNNNNNNNNNNNNNNNNNNNNNNNNNNNNNNNNNNNNNNNNNNNNNNNNNNNNNNNNNNNNNNNNNNNNNNNNNNNNNNNNNNNNNNNNNNNNNNNNNNNNNNNNNNNNNNNNNNNNNNNNNNNNNNNNNNNNNNNNNNNNNNNNNNNNNNNNNNNNNNNNNNNNNNNNNNNNNNNNNNNNNNNNNNNNNNNNNNNNNNNNNNNNNNNNNNNNNNNNNNNNNNNNNNNNNNNNNNNNNNNNNNNNNNNNNNNNNNNNNNNNNNNNNNNNNNNNNNNNNNNNNNNNNNNNNNNNCAUGGCAUUUGGCAACAAUGCAAUUGGAUACUUUAUUUUAAUUUGGCAUGACAUUUCUCGUGUUCUUCACUUAGGGACAAUGACUUUGCAAUUCUAAUUAACAUGUCGCUUUUAUCAUUCCCUUCUGAGACCAUUAGCCUGGGAUAGGAAUUGACUUGCUCGAUGAACUCAAGGUUGUGAGGCUUGCGGCUUGGGCCUACUGCUGUGAAAAAAGUGCCCACAUUCGGUCCACAUUCAGACUGGAUUAUUAAUCAAGUCUAGAAUUAAAUUUCUAAUGUGCUAGAGUAGGACUAUCUAUAGGUACCCUCUUAUCGUUAUUUUUCUUGGUGACGUGAAUUUAUUCAAUUUGAAUGAACACUGUAAUGACUUGAAACAUUCAAUGCCAGUCUAUCUCCUCAAAAAAGUAUUAGGCAGUGAUUUUUUGGAAUGGGUUUCAACUCGUCUUAAGUUUUUUUUUUAUCAUUUCAUGUGAGAUUUGGAGUAUCGCAAACUCUUACACUUAUUAUGUUAAUUUCCUCAUCAUUGUCAACUCACAUCGGCAGUGACAUUUCCUAUCCCGCCAAGAGCCCCACUUUGUCAAGCUUUCACAUCACAUUGAUCACUCCUUGCUUCGUUGGAUUGGGUAAAUGUUGUCUAAUCCAUCCCAAAUGAUAGAUCUACUAAAAAGAAUUUUGCUAAGAUUCAGUGUGCCACGACGCAUUUAUUGUUCAUGUAUGUAGCAUGACUAAGCCUCCCAUCCGAUUGAGAGCUGACUCAAGCAAUGCUAAUUAUGAGAGUUGUAAAGGUUAGAGUUAAAAUAUUCAAUUACUAUCAUGGAAGAAAGGCCGAGGUUGGGACACUUGGAGUGCCAUAACUUGGCACGGAAGGACACUUAAGUGCCAUAACUAUAAAAUGGUACACUUGAGUGGCAAUAUCGGAGUAAAAUGGGACACUUAAGUGCCACUCCGGCGAAAAUCCGGCCAAAAUAGCUGACGUGGCCAUUUUCCGACUAAUUUGGUUCAAAAUUUUUAAAUUUUUCUUGAUUUUUUGAAUAUUUUAAAUAAAAUUAAUUUUAAAUCUAAUUUAAUUAAUUUUUUUAUUAUUAUUUAUACGUAGACACAAAACGGCGUCGUUUUUGUAUUUUCUCCGCCAUGUCAGCGUGCAAAACAACGCCGUUUUGGACCAAACUCGUCGGAAACUCGCCACGUCAGCCGUUUGGCCGGAGUGGCACUUAAGUAUCCCAUUUAACUUUAAAACUGGCACUCAAGUGUACCAUUUUAAAGUUAUGGCACUUAAGUAUCCCUCCGUGCCAAGUUAUGGCACUCGGGCUGUACUUCUGCUUGACUUGAGGUGACCGUAUGUAUCAAGAUUGAGGAGAUCUUGUAAGUUUCGACGGCCGCGGCUUCCUUCAAUACUUGCCCAGGAAAAUACUAAAAGAGAGAGAAUGUUGAUGAUGACGAGAACGACCGUAGAAGAGCAAUUUGGUGUUUGACAUUUUUUGAGUCCCAAGACCAAUAGUGUUCAACCGGUACAAUCACACGGAAAAACACACCUAACAUAUAGGCACAGUUACACAAGUGAAUAUUGCAUAAAUUAAAUCUACUAGAUCAAGUUAAUCACAUUUUAAGAAGAUCUGGAUCUUAUGCUGAAUGUUACUAAUAAAUAUAGAUUUUUGUAUAGCCUCUACACUUUAAUUAUUAUGGGUAUCACGUUACCCAAAGACUAAAUCUAUGUAUGCUUUCUACAACUACCAACUUAUGAAAAAGUGUUCUAAAUUUGUAGUAUUUUGGCAACUUGUCAAUCUCAUUCAAUUUGGAUAGUUGAAAAUAAUAAUGGUAAUAAUAAAUUAUGAUAAAAAAAAAUGACGAAUAGAGAAAUGAAGCACCGAGUCCACAAAAGCCUCAUCACUCCAGCCCGGUUUGAUCACCUUGUUCCAGCCCAGCCCGGUCUGCCCACAAGAGUAGCCCAGACCACAAGCCAAGCCCAUCAAGCACCUGGCCCAAUUCGACUCAGUCCAUCAGAUCCACGAGAGCAGCCUCGGCUACCGCCAAACACCACCAGCUUCGCGGCCGCCGGAAGUGCUCCGUUCGCCACCGUUUUCCAGCCAGUAUCUUCGAAGUGCUUGGACCUUGUUCGUUUCUCAUUCCCUGGCUCCGAUCACCAUCCUCAUUGUCUCCAGUGAUGGCGUGGUCAGCACCUACACCUUCAAGGGAUUUUUCUUCAUGCUCUGUUUUGGCGAGGUAGAUACCGAGAACUCUUACUUCCGUCGCUAUGGAAAUUGAUCUUGUCUAAAGCUAUCACGAGAAACUUGAAUGUUCUAAGACCAGAUGUACUUUGCAUUGGCUGUGAAUCUCUCUUCAUUACUGUUUCAUUUUGUUCAUUAGUCGAGCGCCUGCUACGUGGUUGGUGAUAUUCCUAAGCUAGAUCAUGUUAGCAUUGCGUAGUGAAAUUUGCAGUACUACAAUGUUGAAUUACCUAAUGUGUUCUUAACCGAGACCUCACUGGAUUGAAAUUAGCUCACUAACAGUUUUUUUUUUUUUGGUCGAAAAUAUAGCUGGCAUUUCUUAUAUCACGUCCGAAAAUAGAGUCUCAACAUCAGAAUAUAAGAUUAACAUAAGAGAGUGCGGGGGAUGGGUAAUCCAGUCGGGAGGGAGAUCCGCGGCUUUGUGCGCCUUAGCGACUCAGUCGCUGCUCGGUUGUUUUCUCUGGGCUCGUGGACCAAAUUGACGGGAGGGAUGCGUUUAAGGAGUAACCUGCAGUCGUCCACGAUGGAGCGGGCCUCCCAUGGGCUUUCAAUCUGGCCCAGAAUGCUGUGCACAGCUUCAAGGCAAUCUGAACUGAUCUGGAACUGUUGUUCACUUCCAAAGUCCUCUCCCGUGCGUGCGUGUUGAGUUCUGUUCUGAGUGUUCAAGCAAAGUAACGCCUCCCUAAUAGCUAGGGUUUCGGCUGCAAAAGCUGAGAUCGCACAAAUCGACUUCGCAAAUCCUUCGGUGAGAAGACCGUUGCUGUUCCGGAAGAUCCCCGCCACCGAGCCCUCCUUCGUGGAGCAACACCAGGCGCUAUCAAUUGCAUGGGUUUCCUCAUUGUACGUGGGAUGUAUGGCGAUCGUUUUUGCCGUAUAGGCAUUCCUCAAGUUUAGUUGUCUUGCAUUGAGAAUGAAUCUGGGAGCUAUGCACUUUGAUACAAUUAUUCUCAGUUUAAAUCUACGUUCAGUGUUCUCGCAACACAAAUCCGAUUUUGAGUAUUGCUGGAUUUGGCCAAGAAUCUCUUGUACAUAACUAAAUUGAAUCCAAUGUGUUUUUGUCGAGUCCACAUGUUGAAUUUGCUGGAAUCGCGCUUAGAGCUGGUGAUCGUGUUGUGGGAUAAAUGAGCUGAUGAAAGAAGGGUGGACUUCUGAAUUGAGAAUUGGUUAGGUUUUGUCUUGAUUCAUUCAUACACCACAGUUCGGCUCCAUCGUUUCUCUUCAAUUAUCAAUUUUUUGUUGCGGUUUUGUCAUUCAGAGCCCUCGGCCACUAACCCUUUCAUUUGGCUCGGAUUUUAUCUUUUCUGACUUAUGUUGCGUUAUGCUUGUGUUUAAUGUAAAAUAUAACAUUGCAAUAAAUUGAAUGUGAUGAUUAAAAUUUCGAGCAAGAUUUUUGUAGUUACAAACCUAACAACUUAAUGUACUCAGAGCUCAUUGACGUCCAAUUUGUUUCUCAUUUUCCAAUCUCUCUGUAUUAUAAAUUUAUCAUGGUCGUCAUCUUUUAAAUUUAGAUUUUAAUUGUGUCUUCUUUUUUGCACACGCAUGCGCGUGUGCCCUUUUUUCAGUAAAGACAAAGGAUGAUUCCGGCCAUUUGAAUGAGUAUCGGCAUUUAAUAACUAGCUCAUUGAGGGCAAUAAGUUAAAAAACAUUCAAUUAACCUGACUUAGAUCCAACCCAUAUCUACCCAUUUGACGGCCUUAAACUUUGUCUCACAUGUAAUAUCACCCCGGAUUCAAUUUGUCCAAUGUGGUGUAUGAACUAUUAGUAGAUAUUCAAUCUAAUCCCUAAACUAUAUGAAAAAUGUUCAAUAUUGUCCUUUUAUUAAUUCAAACUGAUAGAAUCUAUUGAUGUGGCUUCAAAUCCGUUACCCGUUUGAUGAUGGACAACCAAAAAAAAAAGUGACACAUGGAUUACGCAAGUAAGACAUUCAUCUCAAAUGCAUCGACAUGUUAGUGUCCUAAUUUUUUUUUUCUUUUCACAAUUAGAUGAAUAAAGAUAGAUAUGUUAACUCAUUAUUUAUACUAGGCUAUGAAACAGUGUCUGAUUUGUAGUUUGAACAAAUAGAAGAACUGCACUUCAUGGAAUAAUUUGAACAAAUUACAAUCAAAAUACUACAUUAUAUUAGGCCAAAAUUCAAAAAUUAUUUGGAAUCAUUUGUGUUAUUAUCCUAAUUAUAAGUGACAUUCUGACUAUCUUUAAUUUUAUAUUAUCAGAUAGAAAUUUUGGCACCAAAUUAUUGCACAUGUCUACUAUUUACUUCUUCGUUGUUAACAUCAAGAACGAUCCCUCUUCUAAUGAGAGUUAUUAGUGCCUCGGAAUAUUUUUUUCGUCAUUGAAUAAUUAGAGCAUGUUUGUGUGUAUCACCAAUAAUUGUAUCACUUCGGAUAAAAAAUAAAUAAGUUUUUUUUUUCCAGUGCUUGAAAUGUUAUCAAGAAAUAAAUGUGUUCAAUUUUACUAAUUCUAACUAGCUUGUCUGAACUACAUAGCAUACAAGCAAAAGGUAUCAUCCGACAAUGAAAUAGAGUUAUGUAUUAUUUUGACAUGACCAAAGUUAUCCGAUAGAAGUGAUGUCAAAUAACAUUUAUCAUUCGGCACUUCCGAUCAAUCAAGAAAUAUUUAAAUAACAUUUAAAGAUACUAUUAACCCUAAAAAUGAUGAAGUUUUUUAUUUUUUUUAUUAAUAUGAUUCCGAUACAAAACUUGGUAUCCAACAAUCGUAGCAAUCAACAAGUUAUCGACGAUAAAAAAGCCUAAUGAUGAACACGAAUAUGAACAAUUGACAUGACGUUAAUAUAAAAGCUUGACGGUGGCGAGCAGUUGCACUAUCGACAAGAUAUCAAUGGCAGAAGAACUUGUCCAUAAUCAUGAAUAUCGGUGACAAAGUGUUUUUUUAUCACUAUAUGAUGACUAUUGGUCAACGAAUAGUACUUAAAAUAAAAUUAGUUCGUGUUGAAAGUAAAAGUGAAGAUGGUAAAGAUGCCAAUUGAGAAGUUUUAAAUAGUUGGACAUGCAAUUGGGAAAAAUAAUCGCAGACCCUUGGUAGCCAUAUUAGCAGCGCCGUGAAGUUGAGCCCAUUGACAACCAAAAGUUACAAACAUUUAAGCUGCGUUUGGUAGUCCGGAUUUGAGUCUGGAUAAGAUAAUUUGUUAUCUUAUCCGAUGUUUGGGAAUGUCCACCAGAUCGAACAAACCCGGAUACAUCCGGAUAAAAUGCCAGAUAAAAAAUCCGGGGAAGGGGGUGAGAUAAGUCUGGAUUGGAUAAGAAUUUUUUUUUUAAGGAAAGAAAAAACUUAACAAAAAGAGAAGAUAUCAUAAGCAUCUACGUCAAAUGGAUGCCUCCACCUCUCCGAUUCAUUGUCAACCCUCUUCUUGCACUUCUUCUCCCAUCUUCGCUUCUCGUACGCCAGCAAUUGGGUGCCCCUUCCUUUUAAUCAUGGACUUGCAAAAUCUGAUGAUCGAUAGUGGCUUUUUGAGACGAAUAGGGUAGAAGUUUUCUCAUAAGCAUUUGUGGAACUAAUUGAAGCAUUGCUUGUGCCACCUCAAACAUCGGUGGCUGGAACUUUGGCUUCACCUGCGCCACUUCAUUGACAAUGCUAGAAUCCUUACGAAGUACGUUGGACGUCUCAAGGGAAGAGGGGAAGGUGGUGAUGGUGAUGAAGCAGCUAUAAAUCUUUGGUACCGUUGACAACUUGGGACCUCGAUCAAUUUGAGGCAAUGCAAAGACUACUUCGGUGGUCGCCUAAAAUUCCUCGCCCCCUCUUUGUCGUAGUCUAAGAUUUACCAAUUUGCAUCGCCGUUGCAUGGCGAUGUUGGUGCUUGCCGUUUUCAAUGGUGGCCACUGCAGAGGUGGCCACAAUUCCUAGAUCUAGGACUUUUCCAUGGCCUUUAAUUAAUUAAAUUUUAUAAUUUUAUAAUUUAAUUGAAUAUCAUAUUUAUUUUUUAAGCUUAUCCUGAAGUGCGCCAAACACUCGAUAGGAUUAUAUAUGUCCGCUUUAUUGUCCAGAGGAUUUAAUAUCCUACUUUAUCCUAUCCUAUCCUGAUUAUUAUCCCGACGACCAAACGCAGCCUUAUAGAUAAGAAGAAUGCGUAGUUAUGAAAUCUAGUCAUAGAGUUCAAAAUCUCGAAAAGGCGGUUGUAACUUUUAAUUUAACAUUAAUCACUUAGAAGCGGUUGUUUUGUGUAAUAGGCUAUACAAGCCGUGUUGAAUCAUUGUAAAGAGCUCUUGAUCAUCAACACAAUCAAUGCUUCCUUUUAGAUUUACCAAUUUAAUGUUCCACUUCCUGCAUUUACUCUUGUUUGGUAAUUGCUUAUGAUUCUUGUUCUUCACUUCACGUCUGAAUCGCUAGGCAACCUGAUUCAAUAAUUGUCUCCUUUUUCCUUUUCCUUUUCAAAAGUGACACUGCAACCACGACUUGUUUUUUGAAGGAAUUAUCUUUAGGGUGCUUAUUAAUCAAUUUGUAAGUUUUGAAUGUUGCUGUUUCCUUCAAUUCUUGCCUAGCAAAAUGCUGAAAGAGAGUAAGAAUAAUGACGAUGAUGAUGAUGAAACGGUCAUGCAAGUGCAUUUUGGUGUUUAACAUCCUUUUAGGCCCAUGCCCGCAAGUGUUAAACUAGUACAACUGCAUGAAAAGUACGCUUAACAUAUAGCCACAAUUGCACGAGUGAUUAUUGCAUAAAUUAAAUUUACUAGAUCAAGGUAAUCACGUUUGAAGAAUCUCUAAAUCCUAUGCUGGAUCUUACUAAUAAUUUCCAUAUAGCUUCUUCACUUUAAUUAAUUAUGUCUAUCACAUUACUAGAAGACUAAAUCUAUGUAUAUUUUCUAUAACUUUCAAUUUACAAAAGAGAGUUCGAAGUUUGUCGUAUUUUGAUACUUGUCAUUCUCAUUGAAUUUGGAUUUGUGAAAAUAGUACCACCUCAUUUGGUUUUUUUUUUUUUUGGUCGAAAAUGAUAGCUUCUUUCAUUCAUAAAGUGCAAGAGUUACAAGAAGUCGAUAGGUAAGAUUCCGCACAUAAAAUUUCCAAAAGAGAUGGAGGAGAGAAGGAGCUCCAGUGUUGAGGUAGUGAACUAGUUCUAUGCAUCUUCGCAAUCAGAUCUGCCGUAUUAUUUGCUUCCCGCAAGCAAUAGGCCAACAUCAUCGAUUCCGAACUGGAGAGAAGGUUUCUGCAUUGUUCAACAAUGGGUUUCACAGUCCAAGGAGGUUCGGCCCGGCCCAUGAUGUUUUGUUUUGCGAUUAAACAGUCCGUUUCACAAACUACUUUGCCCUGUUGUACUUUAUCAACUUUUACCUCUCCCACGUGUAGUUCCUCUCUGCACUGCAGAAACUUCAACCCGUGCAAAAUCGCUAGGGUUUCAAUUUGAAGAGGGGAUGAAGCUCGAACUUGUCGCGCAAAGCCAUCGAUGAGUUGGCCAGCUUGAUCUCGCAAGAUUCUGACGACUGAUCCUACCUGUUCUCCAUGGACCCAAGAGCUGUCGACAUUGAGUUUCAGCACGGCGGUAUCCAUCUUCGUGGUGAGUGCAGGUUUGGGGAUUUCUCUACCUCUUUUUUGUUCAUCCAUUUGCUGAAAUUUUGGAGAUGUGCUUGUGCCAGGUCCACUAUGGUGUUCCGAUUCAGUUGUUUAGCUCUGAAAAUCGAGUUGUUUUGGGUUUUCCAGAUGAACCACAUCACCGUUGCCACCAACUCCUUUUCGGGUAGGUCUCUGUCACUUGCGAAACUCUCCAACAGCCAUUUAUCAAACCGGGUUAUGAAGUUAGGAUUACAAGCAAGAUUGAGCCGUGGAUCUGUCCAUAUGUUCUUUGUCCAUUUGCAAAGUAGGAACAUGUGCUCAGUAGUUUCCGGAUGUGUGUUGCAGAGUGAACAUAUUGGGUCAGGUAACACCUUUCGCUUGUAGAGAUUCUCUCUUGUUGGGAUUGCAUUAUGGCAGAUACUCCAUAUAAAGAUGCGCAUCUUAGGGGGUAUAGAUAAAUGUUAGAGCUUUGUCCACAAUGUUCGAGGAGGCUGAAAUGAUAUUGAUGCUCUGUUUUGUUCUACUUCUUUAGUCUGUGCACAUACUUUGUUGUAUCCGCUUUUAACUGUAUAUUUUCCAACCCUGUUACCCUUCCAAAUUAGGGUAUCUUCCUUCUUGUUGGGAUUUAGAGGAAUAGAUAAAAUUUCAUUUGCUAUUUUGUCUUCAAAUAGGUUCAGCACCUCUGUUUCUUUCCAUCCCCUGUUUUCAUCACUUAUAAGUUCAGCGACAGUUAUGGGGUCGUUUUGAUUUGCCGGGCCACCUAUCACAUCGGAUUCCAGCCAUCUAUCCUCUCGUAUUCUGAUUUUCUUGCCGUCACCUACCCUCCAUUGUACCUCCUUUUCAAUAGUUUCUCUCCCCACCAGAAUGCUUUGCCAACCCCAUGAUGGACGCUGCCCUUUACCUGCCUUCCACAUAUCUCCAUUUGGAAAGUAAACUCCUUUGAAUAUUCUACUCCAUAAGGCUGAGGGAGACUGAGAUAACCUCCAGGCUUGUUUUCCCAACAUUGCUUUGUUAAAAUUUAUUAAAUCUCUAAAUCCUAGCCCCCCUUCAUCCUUUCUCGUUUUCAAAACUUCACACUUCUUCCAGUGCAAACCCCUGCUUGUAUCAUUUUGUUUCCACCAAAAAGAUGCGAUUCUUCUUUCAAUUGCGUUACAUAUUGAGAUGGGUACUUUAAAGAGCGACAUGGCAUAUUGAGGAAGGGCUUGUACAACACUUUUAAUCAGCGUUUCUUUACCUGCUUUGGACAGAAUUUUCUCUUUCCAACCCUCCAUCUUCAUGUUUACUCUAGCUAGGAUCUAGACGAACAUCUCUUUUUUUGAACCGCCCCAAUCGGUCGGGAUGCUAAGAUAUUUUCCUGUCUUGUCUAUGAUCGGGACUCUGAGCUCUUGUGCCAAAUUCCUUUUCAGAUUCAAAGGGCAGCCGCUGUUGAAACUCACUCCUGAUUUAUUUAGGUUAAUUGCUUGGCCUGUAGCAUAACAAUAUUGGUUUAAGACUGCCACAAGGUUUUGGCAUUCUGAAAUGGUCCCAUCCAAGAAGAAAAUAGAAUCAUCGGCAAAGAGAAGAUGUGAUAAGGUAGGGCAAUGUGUAUUCAAUGUUAUCCAUUUUAUGCUCUCGUCUGCCAAAGCCUUAUGCAUUAGCCAUGACAGAACAUUCGACACUAGUAUAAACAGAUAGGUGAUAAAGGAUCACCUUGCCUUAAACCCCUGGAUGGUUUGAAAUAGUUCAAAAGCUCCCCAUUUACCUUCACACUAAAAGUGACUGUUGAGACACAUUGCAUUAUCAACCCUACCCACCUUGAAUCAAAUCCUAGUUUCAGCAAACAUUCACUCAAAAAAUCCCACUCCACUCCGUCAUACGCUUUUUGCAUAUCUAGUUUCAGAAUGGCUUGAAACUUCUUUUUUCUUUUCUUAAUUCUGAGCUGGUGGAUAACUUUCUGAACUAUUAAGAUAUUGUCUUGAAUUUGCCGCCCUUGCACAAAGGCACUUUGUUCAAAAGUAAUAAUAUCUGGGAGCCAUCUCUUCAUUCUGUUUGCCAGCACUUUAGCAAUAAUUUUGUAGUUGAAAUUACAGAGGCCAAUAGGUCUGAACUGGUUUAUACUUUCUGGAUUUUUGACCUUUGGUAUUAGGGUAAUAUAUGUUUGAUUUAGGAUGGGAUCAAGAGUACCUGUCUCAAAGAAGAGCUAUACUAGCUGAAAAACUUCAUGCUUUAGUUCCUCCCAAUAAUGCUGAUAGAAUUGCCCAUUUAACUCAUCGGGACCUGGUGCUUUGAGUGCACCAAAUUGGAAGACCGCCUCUUCCAUUUCUUCUAUUUUCACAAUUUCCAUAAGAUGUGUGUUCAUUUCCUCAUUUAUUGGGCUAGGACACUGAUCUAGGACCGGUUGAAAGUUCCUCGGGCCCACGAUUUCAUAGAGUGUUUGAUAAAAGUCCCUGAUAUGUUGCUUCAGCAAAUUUGGUUCCCUGCACCAUGUAUCUUCAUUAAUCUUUAGCAUUGUUAUUCUAUUUCACUACCUUCUUUGCACUAUUGUGGUGUGAAAGUACUUGGUGUUUUUGUCUCCCCAUUUAAGCCAAUUAAUGUGCGCCCUGAGCCCCCAAUACUUUUCCUCCUGUCUCCAUAAUAUUUGAUUUGAUCCACUACCUGCUAAUAUUCCUCCUUGCUGAAACAUUCUGGCUGUCUGUUAGUAAGCUCAGUUAAUUUCCUCUUUAACUCUCUUAUGCGAAUGGCAGCAUUUGGGAACUUGUUCUUGCUCCAUCUUGCUAAUUCUUUAGAGACAUCUUGCACUUUGUCUGAAAAACUGUUUUCAUUGAAGAGAUUGCCAUCCCAUAUUUGCUUUAUAAUCUCUCUACAUUCUUCUUCUUCUAGCCAAUAAGCUUCAAACCUAAAUUGUUUUUUUCGUUUCUAAUUUUCAGGGUGCAUCACUAGAAGAAGUGGGCUGUGGUCUAAGCCUACAGCUGGGAGAGCUUGAACUUCAGCAUUUGGGAAAGUCACCCGCCAGUCCAUGGUACAUAGAGCUCGAUCUAAUCUUUUUUUCACCAUCUCCUCUCCUGCUUUAUUAUUUGUCCAAGUAUAGGGCACGGCUUUUACUUUCGAUAUCCAUUAGGGAACAAUCAUUCAAGAGUUCACGAAACACUGCCAUUCAGUAGUAAUCAGCUGCUCUUUUGCAUUCCUUCUCCCAAGCAUAAAGAAUUUCGUUAAAAUCCCCCAUACAAAUCCAUGGAAGUAGAUUUUGUGACUGGAUUUCCCUUAGUUUGUGCCAUAAGAGAAGCCUCUCCCCAUAAUUGGUAGGGGCAUAGAGAAAGGUUAUUCGCAUAAGACAUCCACUUGUCCGAUCAUGACAUUCAACAUCUAUGAAAGUUUUGUUGCUAGAAUUUACUCUUAAGUCCACCUCUUCACUCCACAUAAGUGCUAAACCGCAUGCAAUACCUUCCGGAUUCUCUAUAAUUUUAUUCGGGAAUUUUAGGUGUUUUAUGACGCCUUCAACCAUCGACUCCUUAUUCUUAGUUUCCAUUAAAAAGAACAUAGUAGGCCUUUCAAGAGCAACUAAUGCUCUCAGCUCUUGGAACGUCAGGGGGUUGCCCAGCCCCUGACAGUUCCAGCUAAUGAUCUUCAUGACGUCUUCAGUGGCUUAUUAGGGCUAGCCACCAAAGCCCAAUCAUUCUAUUCCUUUACUAUCUGAACAGGUGUUUCCAAAAGCUCUAUAUCAUCGAUGAGUAAAAUAGCAUUGUCUGCUGAUCUCUUCUGUUUUUUGGUUUUCUAGGACUUCAAAGUUUUUUUACUGUUGCUGUCCACAGUCUGAGAGAUUACUUUAGGAGGAUCAAUACACAUAAUCUGCUUUCCUUUAUCUUUUUUCCUGUGGUCCAUGGUCGAGCCUUCUAGUAAAUAAUGAGAUGAAUCACAAUCUGCCCUUGUCUUGUCACGAGUAGUAGUAGCCUGGAUCUCCGAGUCAUUUCUCAUGCCUCUUUCCAUAUCAUUUUCUGAUGCAGGCAUUUCAGGGACAACUUCUUCAGCAUAAGAAAUUGUCUCUAAUUUGCCAUAGAAGGCUUCCCAAUGAGGGCUGUGAUCAUGUACUUCCGCUUUUAGCUAGGGUCCGUACUUUCCUACCUUAUUUUCUGCCCAUUUAGUUUGAUCAUAGGGAAUUUCCUCACAAUUUGUGGCGUAAUGACCAAUUCUCCCACAUGAGUGUGGAAGUCUUUCAUACUUAAAUUCCACCCAUAGCUUCUUAUGCCCUAUGUCCAAUGUAACCCCUGAUUUCAAGGGUGAAUUCAAAUCCAAAUCUACUUUCACCUUUCCUGCUUUGUAGGGACCAUUUCCUCUUGCCUCCAUCUAUAUAUCUACAACUCAUCCCACUCUCUCAGCCAAAUCAGCAACCACAUCCUCUCUAAACCAUCCUGGAGGUAUUCCUCCCAUUUGAACCCAGAAGGCGCAAUAAGAGAAAUCAUAACAGUGUUAUAGGAUCUCUAGAAAUCAUAACAGUGUUAUAGGAUCUCUGGUUUGCACUGUUUCAGAACUAGAAGGUUACUUGCAAAAGACCAUUGACCUGUUUUUAGGAUUCUAUCUUUCUCCUCUUCAAUUUGAAAAACAAAAGAGAAUAAUCCUGGCUCUUUUUGUAAACAAGCAACCGAAUCUGUUUUCCAUGCCUUCUUCAUCGUGUUAGAAAAGGCUUGGAAGUUAACAUUAGGUUUAGAGAAUAGCUUACCAAAUAGAGUGAGAUUGCAUUCCUGCCUUUUGAUAGGAGGGAUUUCUGUUGAAACCUCAACAACAUCACUAGCUGACCAGAGAUCCCCCAAGCUUUUACACAAUGCAGCUACUGGCAAAUCAUUCUCGUUCUCACCUUCCAUCUCUUCCUUUCGUAGGUUGUCUCAUUGCUCUUUGUCUACGUCGAUUUUGGGCUGAAUCACUACUCUGAACUUGUUUAGAGCUAGGAGUCGGGGCCACUUCUCUUAGUUUACUCGAAACCCCAAACUGGGUUCCUCAGUAGAGACAAUGGUUGGAACAUUCGUAGUUGCUGGAAUUUCUUGUGGUUUUUGGUAAUAAUCGGGUGCAGUUUGGAGUUAGAUUGAAGGGGGCUCUGUAAAACUGAUAUGGAAGGACUAAGUAUGGCGAAACUAUCAGCUGAAAGAAGAAAGCUAGAAGAAGACAGUGUUGUGGAAUGGGGAGAAGGUUUCAUGGUGAUGAUUCAUAUUUGGGUUUUUGGUGUUUUGAAGGAAAUCUGGGGAAGGAAAGGGUUAGGGUUCUGAGAUUAAACAUACCAGAUCUAAAGUGCUCUCAAAUCCAUUUGGGGUGAGCGGCGACUCCAGAAUCAUGGUGGUUGCAGGAGAUGAUUUGCACUAUCAGCCAUUGAAGAAAAAGGGGAAAGUCUACCCUAAGGAGAGAGAGGAGCUCUUCCGAGAGAAGAGAGGAUACUUGCCUCAUACCUUCUGGGAAAGGCCCAUUUGUGUCCCGGUAGCAUUGACACCUAAAUUACCGUUGAAAAGUCAAACAUUCAUUUUUUUUUUUGUAAAAAUAAAAUAAAAUAAUGAUGGUGAUAAAUUAUGAUAAAAAUAUUUAUAACAAAAACGAAUAAAAAGAUGAAGCACCAGGACCAUCAAAGCUCAUCACUCCAGCCAAGUCCGACCAUGAGAGUAGCCCAAACCACUAGCGAAGCUCAUUAAGCACCUGGCCCAAGUGGCCUCAGCCCAUUAGAUCCACAAGAGCAGCCUAGGCAACACCAGGCCCAUCAAAUUCUAAUAAAACCGAGUAAGCCCAAUUAGGUGAAACCCAUAAAGAUUUGAAUUGAGCCCGGUCCACCUCAUCGGAAUUGGGCCUCCUCUUCCCCACCAUCUUUCUCUCUCUAUCGCUCUGAAUGUUGGAAACGAACUCGCGCACGUGCACUGGGGAAGCUCAAUGAAGGGAAAUUUGCUGCAUUACAAUUUUUAAUCACCUUUUGUGUUUGUGACCGAGACACACCACGGUUUGGGUCCAUUGGUUCUCUUCGAUAUUGACUUCUUGUUGCAGUUUUGUCAUUUGAGAGCCUCAGCCACAAAACUUUCCAUUUAACUCGGACUUGAUCUUUUCCGACUCACGUUGCAUUAUGCCUAUAUUUAACGUAAAAAUAAUAUUGCAAUAACUUGAAUGUAGUGAUUAAAAUUUUGAGCAAGAUUUUGAUACUUACAAACCUAAAAAGUUAAUAUAUCUAGAGAUCAUUGACGUACAUUUAUUGCUCACUUUACAAUCUCUUUGUAUUAUAAGUUUAUCAUGGGCAUUAUCUUUUGAAUUUAUAUUUUACUCGUUGCUUCUUCUUUUUGGCACACGCAUAGGCAGCCCUUUAUUCAAUAAAGUCAAAAGAUAAUUCCAUCCAAUCGAAUGAGUAUUGGCAUUUAAUAAAUCCAUUUCUCAACAAGAAAAUGCUUUCGAGUUCAUGAUUAGAUAAUAUCUAUGAAUCACACUUGAAAUUUGUCUAGGUCAGUUUGACGACACACCACUUGGGAUGGCCAUGCAAAGAAGCAUGGUUGAACCCGAGAUAAGAAUAAAAUGUUAAAUCAAAAUAAUAAAUCAAAAUAUAGAAAAGCAUAAUGAACAUCAUAUUACAUGAUUUGAUCAGUAUGACCUUGUCCAUGGAAAGAGUAACAUAAAAUUUCACUUUUGAUCAAGCAAUACAACAAAGGUUAUAACCAUGCUUGAGUCAUUCAAAGACUUUUAAUUUUUCUUAGUCCCCAAUUACAUCCAAUAACUCACAUAAUAUAUAUAUAUAUAUAUAUAUAUAUAUAUAUAUAUAUAUAUAUAUUUAUGUCAAAAACUGACACAAUGUCUAACAUGCACCAUCACUAAAUUUAAUCGUGAUUUUCAAAACAAUUAAACACCCGGUAAUCAACUCUCUCCUAAUAUAAUUCACAAACUUAUGCACAACCUUGCAUAUUGAAGUUGAAGUAUUCACUGAACUUGUACUAAAAAGAACUCCCAAAACAGCCUUCCCUCAAAGUGGAAAAUAUGAUCCUUGCAAAUUGAGUUGAACUCUUCACUACUCACUAGCAGACAAUGAUGCGAGCUACUUCAUAGGAGCACAAAGAAAGACAUGGCAUUUGGCAGCCGUGUAAGUGAAUAAUUCUACUUUAAUUUUGGUGUGACAUUUCUCAUGUUCUUCACUUAGGGACAAUAAUUUUGCAAUUCUAAUUAACAUGUCACUCUUAUCAUUCCUUUCUCUAACCAUUAGCAUGGGAGGGGAUCGACCAGCUCAAUGACUUCAAGUUCGUGAGGCUUGUGGCUCAGGCUUGCCACCUUGAAAAUAGUACCCACAUUCAGUCCAAAUUUAGACCGAACACUUUGUCAAUCAGGUCUAGAAUUAGCAUUCUAAUGCGCUAGAGUAAGACUAGCUAUAGGUACUUUUUUUUUGGUCAGUAGCUAUAGGUACUUUCUUAUUGUUAUUUUGCUAGGUGAAACAAAUUUAUUGAAUUUGAAUAAAACACAUGUAAUGACUCGAAGCAUUCAACAUGAGUCAAACUCUCCAAAAAAGUACUUAGGUUGUGGUUUUUGGAGUAGGUUUCAACUUUCAUCUUAAGUUCUUUACCAUCUCACAUGGGAUUUUGAGUGUCACAAACUCUCCUGCUUAUAAUGUUAAUAUCUCAUUGUUGUCAACUCAUAGUAGGCGGUGACAUUUCCUAUUCUAGCAAGAGCCCCACUUUUUCAAGCUUUCACAUCCCGAUGAUCAUUCCCCGCUUUGUUGGAUUGGCUAAAGGCCAUCCAGUCCAUCACCAAAUCACGAAUCUACCAAAAAGAAAUCUUGUUAAGAUUCAAUGUGCCAAGACACAUUUAUUGCCCAUGUUUGUAGCAUGACUUAGCUUACCAUCUGACUAGGAGCUUACUCAAGUAAUGUUACUUGUGAGAGCUACAAAGGCCUUAGUUAAAGUAUUUAUGGUACAUUUAGUUCAGCAUUUUCAAAGCCUACUGGAGAAAUGCAAAGGCCUUAGCCUAAAGAGAUUUGGGGAAAUGCAAAUUGUAUUUGAUUAAAAAAAAAAAAAAAACCUUUGUAAAGCAACUUUGAGUAAAGUAGUUUUGAAUGGUAGCAACAAGAGGCCAAAUCGGAAAAUUGAAUAAUUGGUGAGAGUAGUUUUAGAAGAAAAAAAUAAUCAACCCUAGUUUCAGCAUUCCAAAGCUAGCAUUUAGUAGAACGCCACUUCAAAAAGCUUGCCGAACACCCCAAUAUUUUCUCUAGGGACUUUGGAAGCCGAAAAUGCCUCGAGAAAGCUAAACCAAACACAUCACCAUCACGGAAAGAAGAAAAGAAAGGCUAAAUCUUGAGGUGACCAUAUUUAUUAUGAUCCAAGAUCUUGUAAGUUUUGACUGUCUUUGCUUCCUUCAAUUACUGCCCAGCAAAAAUGCCGAAAGAGAGUAAGAAUGAUGAUGACACCAUCUAUGAUGACAUACUGAUGCAAUUUGGUAUUUAACAUCCUUUUAGUCCCCAAGACCACAUUUGUUCAACCAGUACAACUAGGUGGAAAACGCACCUAACUAAUAUGCACAACUACACGAGUGAGUAUUGUAUAUCAUAUCAAGAUAUUCACAUUUCAAGAAUCUCUAGAUCCCACACUAAAUCUUAUUAAAAAAAUAUGAAUUUUCAUAUAGCUUAUACAUUUUAUUUAUUUUUGUCUAUCACAUUACCCAAAGAAUAAAUCUACUCAUGUUUUCUAUGUGCCAACUUACGGAGAGAGUUCUAAAUUUCUAGUUUUUUGACGCUUGUCAAUUUCAUCAAAUUUGGAUCGAUAAAUAUGAUAACAUAUCAUUUGAUUAUUCGUGAUAUUUUGGAAAAGGUCCAAUUGGGUCACAAUGGUAUUAACAUCUGAAUUUUCACCGACAAGUCAAACAUGUAUUUUUUUCUUUAAAAAAAUACUAUUUAUAGAAAAUAAAAUAAAAAAUAAAAAGGAAAACAUAAUGAUGAAAAAUAAACAAGAAAUAAAAUAAAUAAAUAAAAUAAAGCACCAGGUCCAUCAAAGCCCAUCUCUCCAGCCCAGUUUGAUAACCUCGUUAUAGCCCAACCCGGUCCGACCACAAGCGUAGCCCAGACCGCUAGUAGCCGCCACUCGUCUCCGAUUGCCGACCAACACACGCUCUUUGCAUUUGAAUCUCAGAUAGCAGAGCAGGGAGUACAGAGAAGGAAUUCUCGUAUUGAGUAGCAAUUCUCUGUCGAUUUUUCCUCUUUGAAUCUUUGCCGCCCUCUCUGUCAGUGAUCGCAGCCGCAGGCCACCGCCGAACACCACCAGCAUCGCGGCCACUGGAAGUGCUUCGUUCGCCCCUGUUUUCCAGCCAGCGUCUUCGACGUCCUCGGAGAGUGUUCGUUUCUCCUUCCCCGGGUCCGAUCAUCAUCCUCAUCGUCUCCGGUGAUGGCGGGGCCAGCACCUACGCUUUCAAGAUAUAUUUCUUCAUGCUCUGUUUUACCGAGGUAGAAACCGAGGAUUCUUAAUUCCAUCGCUAUGGAAAUUGUGACUUUCUGAAGCUAUCAUGAGAACCUCGAAUGUUUCGUGUCGAUUGUGUUUUACAUUGGCUGUGAAUCUCUCUCCAUUUACUGUUUCAUUUUGUUCACCGGUCAAGCGCCUGCUACAUAGUUGGUGAUAUUCCUAAGCUAGAUCAUUUUGGAAGAAAUAAAAGCCGAGGUCAUUCUCCUUUAUAUUUAGCAUUGAGUCGAGAAAUUUUGCUAUACUACAAUGGUUAAUUACCUAAUGUGUUCUUAACCGAGACUUUCCAGUUAUGAAAUUAGCUCAUUAACAGGCAAUUUGGUCGGUUUCCUCAUUGUAUAUGGAUGUAUGUUGAUCGUGUUUUGCUGUAUAGGCAUUCCCUAAGUUCUGUUGUCUUGCAUUAAGAAUGAUUCUAGGUGGAAUAAAAUUAUAGUUCCUUUGCUGAUACAAUGAACUGAUGAAAGAAGGAUGGACUUCUAAAUUGAGAAUGGAUCUGGCAUUAGUCUUGAUUCAUUCAUAGGCCACAGUCCACCUCCAUUGGUGUUAGUGGAGAAUCCUUAAAUGCAUAGGUUCAUCGGUUCUCUUUUGAUAUUGAUUUCUUGUUGCGGUUUUGUCAUUCGAGACCCUCAGCCAUGAACCUUUUCAUUUGACUCAGACUUGAUUUUUUUCCGACUUACAUUGCAUUAUGCCUAUGUUUAACGUAAAUAUAACAUUGCAAUAAAUUAAAUUUGAUGAUUAAAAUUUCGAGUAAGAUGUUCGUAGCUACAAGCCUAACAACUAAUAUAUCCAGGGCUCAUCCACAUCCAAUUUCUCACUUUCGAAUCUCUUUGUAUUAUAAGUUUAUCAUGGGUAUUAUCUUGCAAAUUUAGAUUUUACUCAUGUUUUGCUUUGUUUGCACGCCGCACACCGCGGUUCACCUCUAUUUUCUUCUUUUUAUUUCCUUCCACUGGUGGCAGACAAGGGGCACAAAUUCUUUCUUCUAGAUGUUGUAAAGUUGUGCUUGCUUCACCGAAUCAAAGCGUGUGAUCAACAAAACUGUGUCUAUGGAGCCAAAGGGAGAAAGAAAGGCUUGACUUUCACUUGUGCUGUAAUAACCAGUAACAAGCUCGAACGUCGUGAAAUGCCUGUUGUUGAUGGAGAAAGCAGCUUGGGAAAAUCCAAUCAAGGCUCUUGGAGAGAGGAGAACUUAGAUCUUUCCUUUUUCUUAUCCUUCUCACCUGCAGCCUCGCGAACCGAGUGGAUCUCCUAAACAUCAUCAACGAAAGUGAGUGCAAGUUAAGCCUUGGAUGCUCUCCUUUACUCCAGGAAAGGCCAAUAUUUAGUAUAGCCUGGUCCUCUCGUUUCACCAACAAAUUGUGUCUUCCCAUACGGCUUUUCGAUGAUCAGUGAAUAACAUUACUUUCUAGCAAAAAAGAAAAGAUAUAGUAAAACUGAUUUAUUAAAUUGAAUAAUUACGCGAUGUUUCGAACUUCUCUUUAAUGUUAUAUAUGACAAUUUGUUUAGUGGUCCAGUUGCAAUUUGUUAUAUAACUCGAUAUAUCAGUCUAGUUGAUUAUUGUUAACAUUAUCUAGCUUAGUAACCUCUAAAGUUGGAGAGCACCGGCUAACGUCACUAAGGACGGCUGACAAUGAUCGGACCACCAUGUCAACAAUUUUAGAUGAAAAUUGACGGAAACGACUACAUUAAAAAUUAAUACAAAAGUUUAUAAUUACAUUAAAAAAAUUAAAAGAUUCAUGUUUCCCAUGUCGAUCCAUUAUUUUACAGAGUCCACUACGGGUAUUUAGAGAACAAUUAUGUCUACUUUUCAUUUUGUUUUUUCCAAAAGCAACACUAAUGCCACUACUGGUCAUGUGAUGCAUCGUUUGAAUGGAUAUGAAAAGGUUUAAUAUAAGCACGGGUUUUUUCAAUUAAAAUAAUGACGACAUGACUUUUAAAGGAAUUAAAUUUGGGGGUGCUUAUUAAUCAAUUAAUAAAAAUUUUAUUGUAUUGAUUUUCGUCGGAAUAUGUAGGACCAAUUUUUAGGAAAUAAAUCAUUUUUAUUGAGUAAAAUAAACAUACAUGCGGACCUAAUAAUUGCUCUCACUUUUGAAACGCUUAAAAUUUGACCUAUGCGAAUGUACAUGAUCGAUUGAAGUAUACACCUCAAUAUCUACAUUUUGUUUUUUGGAAUUUGUUUCAUUAUUGGAGAAAAGAUCCUUUGCAAAAUGUUUAAAUAUGUUACAAAUUUCAUGUUGAGUUAGUUAAUACUAGAUAGGCAAAAAAUGAUAAGCGAAACUUAUAAUUUUGUAAAAUUUGAUUUGCCUGUCGUCAAAACAUUCAAUAUUGAUUCAAGUAAAAUAAGCCAAACGUAUAAUUUCGCGAUCCCUAGUCUACGGGGAAAAUUCUAAAUAAAAGUCUAAAGCGGUUCUAAAUAAAAAGCUCAGUGAACUCGUCGACCGGCCGAACGUUCGCAGAUAAAUAUUUUCCGAGGACUAGAACAGAGUUAUUUUGGUUCGAAAUUUGCAAUUAGGUAAAAAAAUUUAAAGAAAAUCCCCAAAUUGAAUUAGCAUUUUCAAAUUUUCCCGUUUUCUUUCUUCUCUCCCGCCGCUCAAGCAGAUUGCUCUCAGCCGAUCCUCCGCCGCGCCGCUCCGGUCCUCCGCCGCUCCUUGCGAGCUUCAUUCGCCGCCGUCUCUUCUUCUCUCCCCGGUUCCGUCGUCCCCAAGCUUUCAAGCCCUUCUUCGCGAGCUUCAAGUCCUUCAUCCGCCGAGCUUCGCUCCCGUUCGAACGAGGUUAGCGUCGCUCAAAUUGGUGCAGUUCGUCCAAGAGACAGCGAUCGCAGCUUGUCGAAGCAACGCGGCGACAGGGUGCGGGCUCGUCGUGGGAACAUCACGCCGAUGGCGGCGAGGCGCUCUUCCCAAGCCCGAAUGGGCCGCUCUGAUUUCAGUCACGGAGCGUGCAAUCUCUUGGGAAAGACCCCGGCUUCCGCAUUCUCUCUUCUUCGAUGCUCCUCGGUCUAUUCGUGCCGCUGCAAUUCCCGAAAGAAAGGGAUUUCCUUUCCCCCCCUAAUGCCGUGCGCCGUAAGAUGGACCGAAGCUGGCGAGGUGGGUUCUUCUCCCUCGGCGUAAAUUUGGGAUUUGUCUCGCAGCGGCGGUGCUCCAGCAAAUGCUUUUUUGUUUUUGGCCUCCGAUGGUAAGCUCCGAUGUCUGGCUUUUCUCGCUGCUGUGAUCUAUGAACUGUUUGUGCAUUCGCCAGAUGCGCUCGUUGGUGAAUUUAACAGUAAGAUUAGUGACUUUUAAGGACAUUGCACAAAAGGGGGCCGAAAUUCUUCUUCUUUUGUCUGUUUUUAUGGUAUGUUUGAGUUAGUAAUUUGAUUCUGUUAUCGUUGGUAAGCUAGAUAUGGACUUCUCUGAGUAAUGCUUCCGUGGUAAUCUGCAGGAGGUGGAUGAAUUCAUCAUCGGGCUAUCAAUGUCUUCUGAUAGAAACAGAGACUAUUCAGUCUAGUAAAGUUCGCAGCGUUGCCUGGAAGACUCGCGGUGGGGAGGUGAAAUCAUUGCAUAUGUUUUGUUGAUUGUUGUCUAUGUUCUGUCUCUAGGGCUGAUGGUAAAUACUAAACGAGUGGUGAUUUUGAUUUGGGAUCAUAUAUUACUUCACUCCAUUUCAAAUGCAUUUAUAGACUGCAUGUCUACCGGUUCAGUGAUGUCUCCUGACUUGCUUUAUAAGUUGCUUCUGGUUUCUGC